UCCCACUUGCAUCCUUCCAGCAUCCCCUGCCAAAUUAACAAGUACUGCAUUGUCUUGUUCUUGUGGACAGGUGGAAAUGGCAUAAUCAUUAACAUUGCUUGAACUUGCUAUGCUUUUAUGUCUUUUGUUGCCAACAUUCAUAGCUAGAAAGGCUGCUUCUUGAACUUCUUUAGGCACCCGAACACAAAUGCCAACACCAUGCCCUCUCUCUCCUGAUAAAUGCCAUUUUAUCCUCGAAAUGGAAGUACCAUUGGCAAAUAAAUGCUCACAAAACUUACACUUCAUGCUUCCAUCAUUUAUAUCUUCAACUUCGUUCCAAAACGGAUCAUCUGAUCUACCCAUUUUGUCCUACAGUUAUUGAAAAUCAUUAAUUGGAAAAGGAAGGUUGAAACUAAAAUAAUAAGUUACAAACAGCAAAGAAACUAAGAAGAAAAAACAAUGAAUUCAAGGCAUGGACUGUUACAACUGAGAAAGAUCAAAUUAUUUAUUUUUGGAAACUGUUGAUGAUCCUAUCUCCAAAGUUUCUCAUUAUAAUUUCUACAACUUGUGUUUUCCUUGAAAGAUUCAAACCAGAGUUACAUGUGAAAAACAAAAUGAAGAAGAUGGAGUAUAAAUAAUCUACCUGGAUUCAAGUUGUUCUUCAAGUGCUGGUUCGCUGAAGUAGUAUUCAGGAAGAAAAACAAGAACAGAGAAGAAUAUAUGGUUUAAAAAUAACAAGGAAGUUGCAAGAUGUUGAGCUCCGGAUGAUUCGAUUCAAUCGGAAAAGGAAGCACUGAUCAUCAGAAAGGUUUAAGAAAUUUGAUGAGGGAAAUCGGGAAAUCAAUGGUAUAAUGAGAUGAGAUUUGGGAGAGCGUUACAGCAGCUAAGAUUAUUGUAUUGUUUGUGAAGAAGGAAGUUGCUAGGAAGGAAGCCACAAACUUUACCUACCAAAGAUUAUAUUAUAAGAUAUGGCAAGUUGCUGUACACCUCAAAUUUGCUUUUCUUUUGUCUAGCGAUGCGUAUAAUUAAAAACUUCAACAAAAGAAUCAGAAGCUAAUUGCUGGCUGAGUUAACGUGUGGACCCACCCCAUUGUUGAAACUUUGAAAAAGCUGACCUGGAAAUGUAAGAGCCUGAAGCUUAGAAAUGUAUUAGCAAUAAAAAUAGUGCUUAGGGGUACUGAAACAACCGUUAAACCUAUGGUUGGAAAUAGAACUCAGGACUCAAAACCCACAGUACUUUGAGAAUUUGUACACGUUAAACGUUUAUCAGGAAAAAAUGUGGAGUCCAUUGAAAUAAAACCACAACUACCUUGAAUAUCUACACAAGUUUUUCCUAAUAAGAAUUCUGGUAGAAAGCCUUGAAUAUGUACAAAAAAAAAUUGCUAAUAAGAAUCAUAGUAUUCUAGAUGAUAAUACCUAUUUGUAAAGCCCAUACAUAUUCUUUAUCUCAAAUUAAUUAUGACAUGGUAACAUCAUGAUUGAUGAAUUUUUGAGUCGAGUUGUAUUUGCUGUGUGUUUUUCCGACUAGUUAAGGUUUUUGUUACGAUGAUGUUAACAUCAAAAGGAAUUUUUACUAUAUAUCCACGAAUGAUACAAAAAUCUAUACUUAAAAAAAAAAAUGAAUUCCUGAACCUAGUCGAAGAACUGUGGCAAAAACUGUUUAAGGAUUCCAACCUAACACAUGAAUGAGGAGAGGCUAGUGAUGAUGGAUCAUGUUCCAUAACUUUAAUCAUGUCGGAAUCGGAAUUAAAGUUAGCUAGCUAGCCUCUGUGGCCCCCGAUCGAAUGCUGAAAGUUUCUGCUUCCAUUUUCCAAAGGGGAAAGGGUGCAGCAAGCGAUCACAAACCAACCAGAUGUAUAAAACGAAACUUUGGUCCUUCUAUUUUCUUGAUUAUGUAUUUACAGUCCCUGUAGAUUUUAUUAUAUGCCCAACUAGGCUUGGUCUUUAUAUAAAAACUUUUCACUUAAUUUUCCUUUUUUUUUUCAAAGUUUUUAUUAUAUGUUUAGAAAAAAAAAAGAAUUAAAAUAACAUUUUUCGUAAACCCAAUGGACUCCAUGAUUCAAGUCGCAGGUUUGGUGGAUUUAGCCACAAAGCUCAUAUCGAUCUAUUAUAUUGUCGUUAACAUAUAUAUAUAUAUAUAUGUUAAAGAUUCAUUUUAAAUGUUUUUUUAAAGCAUUUUGCUUAUUUUAGAUUGAUCUCCAUGAUAUGUUUCGUGUUUGUUAUGUACGAUUAAUUUAUUCUGAUUUGCUUUUUACAAAGUCGCGGGUUUUGUGGGUUUAGUCACAAAGCUCAUGUCGAACUAUUAUGUUGUCGUUUACAUAUUUUUUUUAGAAAAAAAGGAUUCAUUUUUAAUGUUUUUUAAAUCAUUUGGUUUAUUUUAGAUUGAUCUUCAUGAUAUAUUUUGUGUUUGUUUUUAUAUGAUUAAUUUGUUCUUUUUUUUUUUACAAUAUUAUUACAAUCUAUGUCGUAGUAGAGGGCAGACAAUGAUCCUCAUUGUAUUUUAUUAUAUACAAGCAUUGACCUUUUGAUUUAUUUUUAAUUUUUUUUAAAAUAUUAAAAAAUUAUUUUAACAACACUUAUGUCGCACGUUUGCGGCGUCACGACGAAUAUUUAUAUGUCCCACUUUAAAAUCUAAAAUGUAAUAUUCUAUAUUUAUUUGGAAAAUAUGGGGAGACAAGAAAUUCUUGUCGUUUAUUGAUGGAAUGGGAGUCGCCACCUAGUAUUUUGGUCACUAGGAACCCUAACUGGUCUCAGAGAUCGGGUACGAGGACUGGUUGCAUAAAGGGAAGGUAUUAGCACCCCAAAUACGUCUUACCUAAGAUAAGUUGCAUUGUUUGAUUGUCUGAUAAAAGCUAAGGUGUUAUUGUAUUUCUAAUUGUUGGUCUAUUCAUGGUUCAAGAAGAGCCCUCCUCAAUAAGGAGGUCCUUAUUUUAUCGGGUAAAAUCAUAACCAUUCUAACGUCUAUAUACAAACUACAUUUUUAAUAUCAAGAAUACGUUUUACGUAUAAAUUUGUAUCCCAAAUACUAAAACAACCAAAAAAAGAUUUUUAAUUUUUUUUGAAAUAUUGGCCUAGUUCUCGUGGCUCUAACAAACUUGUUGUUAAAGCCUAAAUGCAUACUAAUACAUAUAUUUUUUGAAAUUUCAUUUGUUGUAUGAAAAUAUGAUGUGAUGAUUUUUUUUUUGGAGAGACUAGGCCGUAUGCAUUAAAGCAAAAACAUUUUUUUUAUAUAUAUUUUUUGAUGUCUUGACAAAAAUCGGGUAUUUUAAUACUGGAUUCGUAUCUUUACGGUAUAAAAAUACAAACCAAUAUGAAGCCAUUUUGAUAAAAAUAUGCAGGAAAAUCAACAAUAUUUUUAGGAUUUUUCCGAAUUUUUUUGAAAGCAUAAAAUUUUUAUUUUUAAAUUGUUUUUUGAUGUUUUGACAACAACCGGGUAUUUUAAUACUGGAUUUGUAUCUUUACGGUAUAAAAAUACAAACCAAAUAUUAAGCAAUUUUGAUAAAAAAUAUGCAGGAAAAUCAAAAAUAUUUUUAAGGAUUUUUCAGAAUUUUUGAAAGCAAAACAUUUUUUAUUUAUAAAAUUUUUUUGAUGUUUUUUAAAAAAACUGGGUAUUUUAAUACUGGAUUUGUAUUUUUACGGUAUAAAAAUACAAACCAAUAUUAACCAUUUUGAUAAAACUAUGCAGGAAAAUCAACAAUAUUUUUCAAAGAUCUUUCAGAAUAUUUUUUAAUUUUUUUUAUAUAUAUCCACAUAUAUAUACAUAAUAUAAAACAAUAUAAUAAAUAAUGUAAUAUAUUAUGUGGGCUAGGCCGGGCCGACCCAACUUACUAGGCCAGACUCAGCCCAAAAGGGUUGGGCCGGUCUUGGCCGAACAAACUUCCUUUUUAGCCUGGGCCAGACCCGGCCCAGGCAGCAGGGCUGGGCUAGAACCAUUCUGGCCCACACAAAAAUAUUUCUGGGCUAGAACCCGUCUGGCCCAAAGAAGGGAAAAACCAACAACGAUGGCCAGCAUUAGCCUGGCCCAGCAUAUAACUGAUCGGGGAGGAAUUAUUUCCCCCCUCCCCUCCUCCUGCAUGCGUUCUGCAUGCAGGAGAACAACAAAAUGCAAAAACGAUAAGGGAGAAGAAAAGGUACCUGGCGUGGCGGAGGCGAUGCUGCUAGUCGGACUGCUUCACUGGUGGUGUUGUGGUGGAGGCCGGUGGCGGUGUCAUGGCUCACGGACAGCGGCUCCAAGCGGCGGUGCUGCUGUUUCAAACGGCGGAGGGUGAGGUUAUUGCUCUUCCCUUCUCCUCCGUGUGCCUUCCUCUUCUUUCGUUUUCGGUGGUUUCCCUUUAUCCUCCCGGUUUGUUUUCAAGUUUCCUCCCUCUCAGUUUGGGUUUGCUAGUGGUUCUUUUUGGUUUGGUUCUUUCUCUCCUUUUUCUGCGUUUUCUCUUCUUUUUUUUUCUUCGGUUCGUUCUCUCCGUUCCUUCUUUUAUCUCUGUUUUCGAUUUGCUUUUUUUUUUUGGUUUUUUCGUUUUCGGUUUAUUCCCUCCUCUCUUUAGUUCCUCCUCUCCUCGCGUGCUGGCGUUCAAUCUCCAUUUAUAGGGGGCAAAAGGAGCGGGGCUCAUUAUUGCUGCUCAUGGGGAGCAGGGCAACGCCGGUCGAUUGGCUAAUGGUCGCGGCUGGCAAGGUGCGGCUCCCCCGACUUUUCAUCAUGAGAGUGCAUGGGGGGUCGAGUUUUGGCAGGGCAUGUGGCUAAUGAAGAAAGAGGAAGAAAACGUUUUCUCUUCCCUUGUUGCACGCCCGGGGGAAGAAGAAAGAGGAACAGUGUCGUUCAAAACGACAUCGUUCGGUCCUUUUUUUUUUUUAACACGAAACAGCGUCGUUUUAGAAGAAAAUGUUUUCUCUUCCCCUGCUGCACGCCCGGGGGAAGAAGAAAGAGGAACAGUGUCGUUCAAAACGACAUCGUUCGGUCCUCUUUUUUUUUUUUUUAAACACGAAACGACGUCGUUUUAGACAAAACGCGCCAUUUCAUUUAAAUCAAAAAAGGGCGCCAAAAGGAGUCAAUGUCCAAGUCAGUCCUUAAUUAUAUUUUUUCAUUUCAAUUGCAUCCUUGAAAAAAUCAAGCGCCGCCCUUAUAUUUGGCCGUCUUUUCCACUUUGGUCCUUGGUCUCUGAUUUAUGCAAUUUUCCCUCAAUUAAUCAAUAAACUUUCAAUUUCUUCAAUUUAGCCCCUGAUUUUGUUAAUUACAGCCCCUAUAUUUACGCGUCUUUUCCAAUUUGGUCCUUGGCUUCAGAUUUCCUCAAUUAAGUCCCUAAUUGGCCAUUAAACUUCAAUAUUUAUGCAAUUAAGCCCCUGAUUUGACCAAAUCAACUCUUAAAAAUUAUAAUUUGACCCAGAACUUUAAUUUGUUCCAAUUAAAGCCCAAAUUGACUUAAAAAUCAAAUUUUCUUGCAAUCAAACUCUCUAUAAAUUCAAUUAAACUUGCAAUAAAAUCCAAUUAAGUCCAUAAACAUCCAAUUUUGAACUUCUCUCUUCAAAUUGAAUUCCAACAGGGCUCUCAUCAUACUAUCAAAUUUUUAAUUUUUGUAUUUUUAUCCUCCUUAAUUAAUUUUUCUGACCAUUUCCUGAGCGCUCCCGCCUCCUAUUUUUUUUUUCUAAUUUCUUCCGGCUAUAUAUUUAUUUAUUUAUUAUUAUUAUUAUUAUAUUUAUUUUAUUUUAUUAUUUAUUAUUAUUUUAUUAUUUAUUUUUAUUUUUAUUUUUUGUAGGGACCCAAAAAUGGGUUGCAACAACUUAUAUGUUCAUUCUUUAGUGUUAAGAAAAUUAAAUGUAUACAAAAUGUGGUUCAAAUAACUCAAAUUGUAUUUAUACAGCUAAAUGUUUUUCUCUUUAAUAAAUCCAUUGUUGGAUUUGAAAUUUAUAGCAUAUUUUAUAACUCAAAAAUGAAGAUUUGGUUUGGUUUUUAAGUUUUUUAUUUUUGUAAAAUUGAUUGAAAAAAAGUCGAUCGGGUAAUGUCGGCCUGGCUCGAAUCGGCAAAAUCAAAGACACAAAUGAAUAAUAAAUUUCAAUAUUCAUGGUUGAAGACCGGUGGAGCAAAAUCCAACUCUGAUCUAGAGUGUGUUUGAAAAUGCAAUGCAAACCGUGUUCCCUCAUAAUUUAAUUUUUUUUGCUUAAGAUUAUUUUUUUUAUAUUUUUAAAUUGUUUUAAUGUGUUGAUGUCAAAAUUAAUUUAAAACAAUAUUAUUUUAAUGUAUUUUUAUAUAAAAAAAUAUUUUAAAUCGUAACUGUUAUCAUACACACCCUAAUCUUGAGACUUUUUAUGGAACUCUUAAUUUUCAAGAGAGCCUUAACCAUUCCUUUAUGCAAGUGUACGCUUUGCCAAACAAUCCUUUAGGAAAAGGGGUUGCCCUCCCUCCGACGACUUGCCAUAACAGGCCAGGACUAAUUUCGACUCUUCGUUGGCGAAUGAUGACACUGCUCUACAUCCUUGACCAUUUCAAUUCCGAGAAACUCCCCCACCAUCCCAUAAAAAAGUUGUCCUUUUCUUUGAAGAAUUUUCCCAAUUAGUCCUUAUAUUGAAUUGAUCACACGUAAAUAAACUAUUUUUAUAAAUUUGAGUUGAGUUAAUUUACCAAACUCAUAAAUCAAUCAUAUAAUAAACUAUUUUUAUAAAUUUGAUCACAUGUAAAUAAAGUUUAAUUAGUACAAGACACUAUUGAGUACAAUGACGUUACAUAACUUAAAGAAUAUAUAUAUACAUAACUUAAAGAAUACACACACACAAAGCACAAAUAAUAAUAAUUUUGGAUGCAAAACACAGGUGGAGCAAGAAAUUCCACCCCAAGAAAAAUCCAAAUAUAAGUUCUUCCAACUUUCUUUGUUUCCCAAGAAAUCGAGAAUGCUAGUUUCAUUCAUCAAAAUUAUAAAUCCUAUAUUUAGAUAAAUUAGUGCAAAAUACCUAUAAACUAUAUUAUAAGAUAUAGAAAGCUAACGUGUGGAGUCUGUGGACCCACCCAAUGUUCAAACUUUGAAGAAGCUGCCAACAAAAUGUAAACACAUGAAUAUGAGAAAGAAUAACACAUUUAAAGUUUCUUUUAAAAAAAUAUUUUUUAUUUAAAAAUAUAUUAAAAUAAUAUUUUUAAUUUUUUUUAUAUUACCACCUCAGAACAAUUCAAAAAUAUUAAUAGCAAGCAGUCACUUGAUACAUUUUUACAGACUUUUGAUUAACCCCACUCAUUUGAGCCCUGUUAUUGGUUAAUGGUUAUCAACAACUCUCCAUCCCGUUACCUUUCCGGCUCUCCCUAGAACAACCAACCCCCAGCAAAAAUGCUACAUUUAGAAUCAUAUCCAGAAAAGCAAAAGCCAGAAAAGCAAAAACCAGAAACAAGGAUGAAUAUACCACUGUAGCUUUUGAUGUUUACCGGUUUUGGAAAUGCGCUUACGCUUUUAAAUGUUUUUUUAUGUUUGUUUUUAAAAAGUAAUAAUUUGAUAAUUUUUUAGUAUUUUUAAUAAUUUUAAUAUAUUAAUAUUAUGGAUUGUUGUUGUAUUUGAUCUGAUGACGAUAAAUUCUGAAAUAUUAUUUAAUCUUAUUGAUUCUGAAAAAAUAUAAUAUUUUAUAAUAUUAUGAAAUGUCGUGUGAAUUUUAUAUGUAUUUGUUUUAUUGAUUUAAUUUUCUAUUUCCUGUAUAUGCUACGGAGAUGAAUUAAUCUUCAUUGUGAAAAUGUUCUCUCAUGCUCCUAAAUUCUUACAUUUUUGUUAACAAUAAGAGAUGAAGAGGAGUUGGGUAUGGAGGUGAAGGUAUAAUUAAUGCAACCAACAAAUGAUACAGAAUAAGCUCAGAUCAAGAGAACAAUCGACCAAUUUUUCAACAUCCAAGUUCUUGUAAUCUCACAAACUCUCGAGACCCAAACCCAAUCAACGGAGAGAACCUUUAUUUGUUAAGGCUCCAUAUACUUUCUCGACAAGAACCGGAGAAGGAGGCUGUGGGGUGUUCGAUGGUUGAAAAGGGAACGUGGAUUAUGUUCUCCGACGGUUUCAACUCAUGCAUUCAAUUCCAGGCAAUAGCUGAGAUUUCGUAAUCUGUAUAUUGAGUGACUUUUUGGAGAGGGAGGGGCAGCGCGGGAACGAAAAGGAAAGGUAGCAGCCUCAAGCCUCGCCAAAAGCCCAAGAGAAUAUGCUCAGAUCAAGAGGACAAUCGACACAAUUGUCCCUUCCAAUUUUUGUCUCUCUUCCUUGAACUCUUAACUCAGCAUCUAUCCCUUUUACUCAGACAAAACUACCAGGCACUAAUAGAAAACUUCAUUUUGAUGUUUUUUUUUUUUUUUUAAAUCACAGAAAAAACCACUUUAUGUUGCUCAUAAAGACAGAAAAAACUUAAAAAUACAAAUUAAAAAAUCUUAAGGAAUUGAUUAACCAAUCCUUUUAGUUUUUUUAUGUUGUCUAUAAAGUCAGAAAAAACUUAAUAAUACAGAUUAAAAAAUCUUUGUACAAGAAAAAUAGGAUGAAUUUUUGUACAAGGAAAAAAAUUCCAAGUCAUGUAAUUCGAUUAUCAUUUUUUUUUUUAAAUUGUCUUAUGUCUCUCUCUCUCUUUUUCUUUUUAAUCUGUAUUAUAUAUUUUAAAAGAAUAAUUUGUUGCUAGUAAAUGAUAUAAGAUGAUUUGUAAUAGUGAAUAGAUAUAUUAUUUUAUUAGGUUACUUUAAUGAUAAAUCAAUAUAGUAUUUUUAUUUUUUUGGAUUUUCAUCUUGGAGAAACUCAAUAGGAUGAAAAUAUAAUAUUAAUCAAACUUCAAAUUAUAAUUAUUUAUCUAUCGAGUUAAAAAAAGGUACAAAGAGACGAAGGACUAUUUCAAUAUUAAUUAAUAAGAUUAUCCUUGUUGAUUUAAAGGACUAUUUUCAUCAUUUAUGUCGAAAAUAAUUAUGUUUUGCACAUGAUUUUUAACAACAAUCAUUGAAAGAAUGAUAUAUUAUUGAAUAUGAUCAAAUUUAAGGUUACAAAAAUAAUUAGUAUUCUUACAACCAAAGGAUUACCAAUACGGGAAUGAUGGUAAACCAAACUUUACAAAGGGACGAAGAACAUCCUUUGCAUUAGGAUGCUCCCACUCCACUACUGUCUCCCACCAUUCUUCUGGAUAUGCUCGGAUGUAUUUAAGAGAAAGGGGAGGGGAUGGCUGGCCAUUUUCAAGCAACGAAAGACAAAAUGACAUCCUCUUCAUCUUCUGACAAUUUCGUACUGUAAUGCUUUGGAGAGAAUCGCAAAUCAGUUUAGCAUUGCAAAUUCUUUUCAGUUCUGGUAACCAAAACAAUUCCAGAUUUCUUAACUUUGGGAGAAUGACUUCCGUGAUGGAAUUGGAGGUGCUGCUUUCUUCAUCUGUUGUUCCUAUUAUCUCCUCCAUUUUCUCACAAUUCUCCACAACAAUCACUUCCAGGUUUACGAGCUUUGGCAGCAACACAAGUCCCACCAUUCCUAUUGUCUCCCACCAUUCUUCUGGAUAUGCUCGGAUGUAUUUAAGAGAAGGGGGAGGGGAUGGCUGGCCAUUUUCAAGCAACGAAAGACAAAAUGGCAUCCUCUUCAUCUUCUGACAAUUUCGUACUAUAAUGCUUUGGAGAGAAUCGCAAAUCAGUUUAGCAUUGCAAAUGCUUUUCAGUUCUGGUAACCAAAACAAUUCCAGAUUUCUUAACUUUGGGAGAAUGACUUCCAUGAUGGAAUUGGAGGUGCUGCUUUCUUCAUCUGUUGUUCCUAUUAUCUCCUCCAUUUUCUCACAAUUCUCCACAACAAUCACUUCCAAGUUUACAAGGUUUGGCAGCAACACAAGUGGGAACAACUUCUUCAUACUGUUACAGAGAUAACAAUAAAACUCUUUAAGACCAGAAAACGUACCGUUACAUGAUGGAAAUCGUGGUGGAGCAUAGCAGAACCAAGAAGAUGAAACCAAGCUCUCCAUGCUACCGCAACCAUAAAUGAUGAUGUGCUCCAGUUCAGUUGCAUUCUCUAAUGACAAAACAUCACAUAAACUUCUUGUAUCGAUGCAUCGACAAACCAGUCCUUGAAUUCCAUUUAAGAUCAUGACCUGAAAAUCUCCAUCUCCGUUGAUACUCAAAUUACCCAACCCAACUGUUUUACUUGGAUAAUUUUUGCGUACCCAAAAAUCUCGAUCCACCAUUCCUACUAAAAUUGUGCAUGUGCUUAAUGAUUGAAUCCCAUCCCGAGAUCUGAGAUACUCCACGAAGUCAGGGAGACCUUCGAAAUGGCAUUCCAAAGUUUCCAGAUUUCUCAAGGAUCCUACUUCCUUUCCUUUAACUGUUAUCGGAGCAUCCAUAAACUCUUCUAGUACAAAGACUUGCAGGUGAGAGAGUUUUGGUAAUAUCCCACUAGGAAACUCCUUUUCACCACAUCCAUUCAUUCUAAGAUACCUCAGGUUGGUUAGGCAUUCCAUUCCUUGCGGCAUAUUUUCAAGCGCGGUACGAGAGAGAGCCAACCUCUUCAGUUCCUUGAGCUUCUUUAAUGAUGGAACAUGUUUUAAUUUCCCACAAGAAUUGAGCAAUAAUGCAGUGAGACUCACCAAAUCAGAGAAAGAGUCUGGCAAAUUUUCAAUACCUGUCCAAGACAGAUCGAGGACCUUGAGCCCAUGCAAUUGCUUGAAAAAUGAAUCCGCUAUAGAUCCCAACCGUUGAUUAUAACAUAGAAGCAGAGUGGACAGAUUUGAACAAAUUGGUGAAUGGCCGAAAGGAAUUUCUUCGAUCUCGUUUAGUACUAGUGAAACUAUCGUCAAAUUCUCCGUCCACUCCUCUGCAUCUGGCAACUCUUUUAAUUGCGCACCUGCUUUAACCAUGCCUUGAGAGUUCUCUAGCAGUAUUUGGAUGGCCAUGUCCCUAAUCAAGUCAUGCAUCUUGACACGUCUACAACCAAACAUCAUUUGAGCUCUUUCUAAUAGGCAAACAUAUUCAAGUCUAUUAAGCAUCGUGUGGCCCUCGUCAAAUGCAUCUUCCCUUCUCCUCAUUCCUUUAAUUAUUCCCUCGUCGAUCAAAUAACCUAUCAACUCCUCCCUUCCAAUCCAAUAAUCUUCAGGAAAUAAUGCACAGUACAAGAGACAUUGUUGUAGUGCUAGAUCAUCUAACCGAUCAUAACUAAACCUCAAUAACUUGAAUACUUCCUUGUCCCUAAAUUCUGAUUCUUUCAAUUUGUUCAAUGUAUUUCUCCACUCAUGUAGGUCAUCCACUCCCCUCAAGCUUCCUGCCACUGUAAUAAUUCCCAAUGGCAAACCAGCACAUUUCCUUGCAACAGCUUCCGCAAUUCCUUCCACUUCUGGUGAAAGUGCUACAUCAUGUCCAAGUUUCUCCAUGAACAAAAUCCAAGCUUCUCCCUUAGAAAGUGGCUUCACUUUGAUUUUGUGCUGGCAAGUCAUCCGAUGACAAACUGUUUCUGAUCGAGUUGUCAAAAUCAGCUUGCAUCCUUUCAACUUCUCAGGAAUUCCCACUUUGUGUAGCUCAAAAUUGUUCCACAAAUCAUCUAAAAUAAGAAUCCAUUUUUGUUUCUUCCUUAGUUCUUCUGACAAUUUAGCAGCUCUAUGCAGUUCAUCAUGUUUUCUUGAAAGAUCUAGAUCAAGAUGUUCAGCAAUAAGAUUCUGCAAUCUAUUAAUGCUGAAAUCUUGAGACACAGUCACCCACCAAACAUGAUCACAAAUAUCUGGUCUUUGUAGAAGCUCAUUAUGGAUAUGUUGCAGUAUUGUGGAUUUACCAACUCCCCCAUCCCAUAAAUGCCAAUGGUUGAGACUUCCCCAUCCAUUAACAAAGACCAUAUCUCAUUCGUAUUCUCUUCGAAUGCUUGACCCACUGGUUUUGUAGAGCUAGUAGGUAAUGGAACUCCUCUAGUCUUGUUGUAUUUCAGACUUUCAGAAGAUCUAGCUCCAGCACCAACCUGCACUGAUCUUCGACUAUUCUCCACAUCCUCCUCCACUAAUUCUGUCCUCACUCUAACCCGAUUAAUUCUCUCUUCCCCGGCACCUUGUUCCAGCACCCCCUGAACUCCCACUUGUAUCCUUCCAGCACCCCCUGCCAAAUUGCCAAGUACUGCAUUUCUUUGUUCCAACGAUCGAUCCACUUGUUCUGUCCUCGGUCUGCUCUUGAGUGCCCCUUCAGAAACUCCAUCUUCUUGUGCUCUCAUUCCGGUCAUGCUUACUACGUCGUUUCCUGCUAUUGCAUGUGAAGUAAUUCUCUCUUCCCCUACUCCGGGUUCUACAACCUGAACUUCUCGUUGUACCCUUCCAAUUCCUCCUUCCGUAUUUUCAAUCUCAAUGUUUUGUUCUUGUGGACAAGUUGAAAUUCCAAAAUCAUUAACAUUGACUGAACUUGCUGUGGUUUUAUGUCUUUUGUUGCCACCACACAUAGCUAGAAAGGCUGCUUCUUGAACUUCUGUAGUCACCCCAGGACAAAUGGCAACAUUAUGCCCUCUCUUUCUUGAUAAAUGCCAUUUGAUCCUCGAAAUGGAAGUAUCCUUGGCAUAUGUAUGUGGACAAAACUUACACUUCAUCCUACCAUCAGCCCUAUAUUCAACAUAAUUCCAAAACGGAUCAUUUGAUCCAACCAUUUCGACCUAUAGAAAAAAAGGGGGGGUCAAAAUAUAGAAUAAAAAUCAGUCAAAAUAAAGAAUAAAAAUCCUAUCUGGAUGGAUGAGAAACUACUUCAGUACUGUUACCCCUAUUUUGCUAUUAAAAUUGAGAGUUAGUUUAUAGCACAAUCAUAGGGGAAAAAAAGACUACGAUAAUUCAGUUAGACUUCUUACUUGUUGAGAAUUUAAACCCCUAUUUUGACUUUGCAAGGAAGUGUCAGGGCCAGGAUUUGAGGCAUUUGGCCUAGCAGUUUGAUUUCGCAAUCCUCGGACUUGGAGGUUAUCCAUCUGUGACCUAUAUAAAAAUGAAGUGAUCAUAUUAUAAAACCUUUCGAUAAUUGGUAGUCUCUCUCAAGCACUAAAAAUCAAUGGUGUAUCUAAUUAUCGAAAAGGUAUUAAUACUAUGUAGAAAACCUAAUUUUUUUUAUUACAGAAAAUACUAAAAAUGAAAAAUUGGAUACCAUGGAGCAGGAAAAGAAGGUCCAGGUUGAUUGAAGCCACCAUGUUGUGAAGUGGUUGCGUUCGGUGUCAUAUAGCCAUGUCCCGGCUGAGGUUGAUGAAUAAGGGAAUUAUGAUGCCUUGAUGGAGUUUGAGGCCAAUUUGGUUCAUUUUGGUUGAUCCAUGAUGAUGAUGUUCCAUCCAAACCUCCCAUUGUUGUCUGUUUGUUUAACAAUAAACAAUUAGAAGAUGCUCGAGAUAAAUCGAUACACUAAACUUUUUGUAUAAUACAAACACUUGCUAAUUCAAUGGAUAUUGUAGCGAAUUGGAGCAAGCAUGAGUACUCACCAUGGUUUCCGGAAAUGAAGUUGGAAACUGAGUUGUACUAUCGUUGAUCACAUUGUUCCAUCCAAACCUCCCUUGAUCAUUGCCUUGGUUGACUGGAACCUCCGAUGCCGGCCUGCUUCCAUGGAAUAAUAGGAUAAACUGAAGAAUAACUAAAUUGCAAGCAAUCAUCUUCUGAUAAAAUAUGCUUAAGAAUGACGUACGAGAGAAGCUCAGAUAUAUUGAAUGUAUCAUCUUCUGAUUGAAAAUCCAGCUGAUCCCAUGUCAUGUUGUCAACCUCCUCCAUAGAAGAUGGUUGGAACCCUUCCAUCUGACCAGAAAAGAUCAGAAAAGACAAAAAAAAAACUGAGGUCUAAAAUGAACAGAAAGCACAGAUCAGAAAAGAAUAUAUAUAUCCCAUUGCUGUCUGUUUGUUUAACAAUAAACAUUUUGAAGAUGCUCGAGAUAAAUUGAUACACGAAAACAUAAAACUUUUUUAUCCAAUGGGUGAUACAAACACUUGCUAAUUCAAUGGACAUUGUAGCAAAUUGGAGUAGGCAUGAGCACUCACCAUGGUUUGAGGAAAUGAAGGUGGAAACUGAGUUGUUUGUUGAAUACUAUCGUUGAUCACAUUGUUAUCCACUACCAUGUUCUGUCCAACAUGAUCAUUGCAUAACAUGAAGCUUUGGUUGCCUGGAACCUCCGGUGGCGACCUGCUUCCAUAGUCAGUAACAUUAUUGUUUCUUGGGAAUAAACUAUUGAAGAAUAACUAAAUUGCAAGCAAUCGUCUUCUGAUAAAAUAUGCUUAAGAAUGACGUACAAGAGAAGCUCAGACAUGAAUGUAUCUUCUAGUGAUUGAAGAUCGAACAGAUUCGAUGUCACGUUGACAUCAUCCUCCAUAGAAGAUUGUGGGAACCCUUCCAUCUGACCACAAGUACAAGACGAUUAGUAUGUACUGAGGUGGAAAAAGAACAGAAAGCUCAGAUCAGAAAAGAAUAUAUAUAUUAAAAAAAUAAUUAUGACUUGCUUAUUUGUUAAAGAAAUAAGGAUGAAAAAUAGGAAAUAUAAAUGUUGUUGUUAAUGAUUUAACCCUUUGUAUUUAAAGCUAAAUUAUCAUACUCAAAUUCUAUCCUAAAACUCUAGAAUGAUAGAUAGAAAGAUGCAGAAGAGGAUAACUGUUGAAGAAAGCAGGGGAAGGAAGGUCGAAGAGCUGAUUGUUUUGACGGGGUGAACAAAAACCUCUUUCAACUCCUAUUUAUUCAUAAUUUGGGGAGCAAAACAAAUGCAAGAUAUUGUUUUGUUCAAAAAGAUUCAGGUAAUUAUUGAUGAUCAAGUUAAUUCAUUGAAUCAUUGUAAGUUGAAAAAUAUUGAAUAAAAAUAAAUGGCAGUCCCAUUAAUUGGAAAAGAAAAGGGUGAAUCUAAAAUAAGGAGUUAAAAACAACAAAGAAUCUUGAAAAGACGAAAACAACGAAUUCAGUAUUAAUUUAGUAUGAACUCCACAAGGCAUGGAUUAUAAAAUCCGAGAAAAAGAUCAAUUUAUUUAUCAUGGAUUCCUUUAAAGAUUCAAACCAUACUUGCAUAUAUAAAAACAAAAACACCACCAAGAUAAAGUACAAAUAAUUAACCUGGAUUCAAGUGCUGGUUCGCUUGAGCAGUAAUCAGCCAAAAAAGAGAGGAGAAAUCACAUAAAUCUAGUUCGCACUGGUUAGAUGUGGAAAGGAAAAGAGGUAGAAGAUGAUUAGUACGUCCUGAGGAUUAAAAGAGAAGAGAAAUCACAGAUCGGAGAAGAUUAUAUGAUUAGAAAACUAAUAAAGUUGCAGUCUACAUAAAUUAUUGUUUUGUUAUAUGUGGAAGGAAGUUGCUAGGAAGCAACCCACUACUUUACCUACCCAAUUAUGAAAGCUUAGAAGAAGAUGCCUAGAAAAUGUGAUUAAUAUGUGAUUAAUAGGUGGUGGCCAAGAGUUUGGGACCAAGAGGUUUGAUUUCUAUGUGGUAUCAGGUUCGAGCCCUGGGUUGCUCAUAUGAUAGCCACUGGAGGCUUACAUAGUCGUUAACUUCAGGGCCUGUGGGAUUAGUCGAGGUAUGCGCAAGCUGAUCCGGACACACGUUUAACUAAAAAAAAAUACAUAUAUUAUAUUAUAAGAUAUAGAAAGUUAACGUGUGGACCCGCCCCAAUGUUGAAACUUCGAAGAAGCUGCCAAGAAAAUGUAAACACAUGAAAUUUUCAAAAAAGAAUAGUAUAUUUAUUAGGUUACUUUAAUGAUAAAUCAAUAUAGUUUUUAUUUUUAUUUUUUAUUUUUGGAUUUUCAUCUUGGAGAAACUCAAUAGGAUGAAAAUAUAAUAUUAAUCAAACUUCAAAUUAUAAUUAUUUAUCUAUCGAGUUAAAAAAAAAGUACAAAGGGAUGAAGGAUUAUUUCAAUAUUAAUUAAUAAGAGUAUCCUUGUUGAUUUAAAGGACUAUUUUCAUAUCGAAAAUAAUUAUGUUUUGCACCUGAUUUUUAACAAAAAUGAUUGAAAAAUGAUAUAUUAUUGAAUAUGAGCAAAUUUAAGAUAACAAAAAUGAUUAGUAUUUUUACAGAUGGAUAGAAUUGAUAAAUGAUGCAACAAAAAAGGAUACGUAUUAUUACAUUUAACGGAGUAAUUAACCAUUCUACAUAUUAAUUAUUUCGAGAGAAAAAGGUUCUUUGGACAUCCUUUGCAUUAUGAUAGAAUUGAUAAAUGAUGCAACAAAGAAGUAUUCUAACAACGAAAGGAUUAACAAUACGAAAGGUACAAUUCGAUUGAGAGAGAUUAUGCUUACCCUCUAUUCUAUAUUAUAUUAUAUUAAGGGCAGAGUAGUCUUCUCCUAUACAAAGUGUACAAAGGGAAGAAGGACAUCCUUUGUAUUAGGAUGCUCCCACUCCACUACUGUCUCCCACCAUUCUUCUGGAUAUGCCUUGAUUUUUCUAAGAGAAGGGGGAGGAGAUGGCUGCCCAUUUUCAUGCAACGGAAGACAAAUUGGAAUCCUCUUCAGCUUCUCACAAUAUAUUACAGUAAUAUAUUCAAGAGAAUUGCAUAUCAAUUUUACACUGCAAAUGCUUUUCAAUUCUGGUAAAUGAUACAAUUCCAAAAUUCUUAAGUUUGGGAGAAUGACUUCCGUGAUGGAAUUAGAGGUGCUGCUUUCUUCAUCUGUUGUUCCUAUUAUCUCCUCCAUUUUCUCACAUCCACUAAUUUCAAUAUGUGUAACAGGUUUAUAAGGUUUGGCAGCAAUACAAGUGGGAACACCUCCUUCAUACUGUUACAUCCACCACAAUAAAGCCUUUUAAGACCAGAAAACAUACCAUUAUAUGAUGGCAAUGGUGGUGGAGCAGAGCAGAACCAAGAAGAUGAAACCAUGCUCUCCAUGCUAUUGCAAUCCCCAAUGUCGAUUUCCUCCAGUUCAGUUGCAUUCUCUAAUGACAAAAUAUCACAUAAACUUCUUGCAUCGAUGCUUUCACAAACCAGUCCUUGAAUGCCAUUUAAGAACAUGACCUGAAAAUCUCCAUCUCCGUUGAUACUCAAAUUACCCAACCCAACUGUUUUACUUGGAAAAUAAUUAUUGCCAAACCAAUAAUUUAAACUCACCAUUCCUACUAAAAUUUUAUAUGUGCUUAAUGAUUGGAUCCCAUCCCGAGAUUUGAGAUAGUCCACGAAGUCAGAGAAACCUUCAAAAUGGCAUUCCAAACUUUCCAAAUUUCUCAAGGAUCCUACUUCCUUUCCUUUAACUGUUAUCGGAGCAAUCGUAAUCCCUUUUAUUACAAAGACAUGUAGGUGAGAGAGUUUUGGUAAUAUCCCACUAGGAAACUCCUUUUCACCACAUCCAUCCAUACUAAGAUACCUCAGGUUGGUUAGGCAUUCCAUUCCUUGCGGCAUCUUUUCAAGCCUAGUAUAAGAGAGAUCCAACCUCUUCAGUGCCGUGAGCUUCUUUAAUGAUGGAACAUGUUUUAAUUCAUCACACUUACUAAGCAAUAAGGCAGUAAGACUCGCCAAAUUAGAGACAGAAUCUGGCAAAUUUUUAAUACCUGUGCGAGACAGAUCAAGGACCAUGAGCCUAUGCAAUUGCUUGAAAAAUGAAUCCGCAACAAAUCCCAACCCUUUAUUAUCACAUAGAAAUAGAGUUGACAGAUUUGGACACAUUGGUGAAUGGUCGAAAGGAACUUCUUCAAUCUCGUUUUGCAUUAGUGAAACUAUUGUCAGAUUCUUCGUCCACUCCUCUGCUUCUGGCAACUCUUUUAACUGCGCACCUGCUUUAACCAUGCCUUGAGAGUUCUCUAGCAGUAUUUGGAUGGCCAUGUCCCUAAUCAAGUCAUGCAUCUUGACAUGUCUAAUAUCAUCAUAAUCCAUUUGAGCACUUUCCAAUAGGCAGACAUAUUCAAGUCUAUUAAGCAUCGUGUGGCCCUCGUCAAAUGCAUCUUUCCUGCUCCUCAUUCCUUUAAUUAUCCCGACAUCGAUCAAAUAACCUAUCAGCUGCUCCCUCUUAAUCCUAUGAUCUUCAGGAAAUAAUGCACAGUACAAGAGACAUUUUUGGAGUGCUGAAUCACCUAGCCGUUCAUAACUAAACUUCAAUAACUUGAAUACUUUAUUGUCCCUAAAUUCUGAUGCACUCAAUUUCUUCAAUGUACUUCUCCACUCAUGUAGGUCAUUCACUCCCCUCAAGCUUCCUGCCACUGUAAUAAUUCCCAAUGGCAAACCAGCACAUUCCCACAAAGCUUUUGAUUAUGUGUUAUGGGAAUACAUCAAUGAAGUAAUGGUUGCUAUGGGCUUCGGGAGCAGGUGGCGAGGUUGGAUCAUGCAAUGCAUUUCAAUAGCAAAGAUGUCUGUGCUAGUCAAUGGAUCUCCAACGACAGAAUUUAACUUGGAAAAAGGUCUACGACAAGGAGACCCCCUCUCACCUUUUCUUUUCAAUAUUGCAGUUCAGGGAUUGAGUUGUCUGUUGCAGCAAGGUUGUGAUUUGGGUUUGAUCGAGGGUAUUAAGAUUGGCCAGGAUGGAUUUUCAUUAUCUCAUCUUCAAUUUGCAGAUGACACUCCUAUAUUCAGCUCAAACUCUUUACUUGGUAUGCAGAAUAUCAAGCGCAUCCUUUUAUGUUUUGAAUUAAUGUCAGGUCUGAAGGUUAACUUUUGUAAAAGCAGCAUCUUUGGUGUGGGUAUAGAUGAUCAUAUAUGUAAUUACACUGCUCAAAUUCUUCGAUGUAAGCAGGAGCGCCUCCCAUUCAAAUAUCUUGGCCUCCCCAUUGGUGCAAACUCUUGUAGAACUUCGAUGUGGAAACCUAUUCUCCAUAAUAUCAGUGCUAGGCUGGCUUCGUGGAAAGGCAGACUUCUAUCUAUUGGGGGUAGAUUGUGCUUAAUCAAAUCUGUCUUAGGAAAUUUGCCCAUUUACUUUCUCUCUUUGUUUCCUAUGCCUGCGACAAUUGCAACCUCCAUUGAAAAGAAAUUCAGAGCCUUCUUGUGGUCAGGAAAAGAGGAAGGCAAAAAAAUAUGCAAUGUUAGAUGGUCAACUAUUUCUCUGCCGAAAAAUGCUGGUGGUCUUGGGAUCGGAUCUCUAAGGGACAAAAACAAAGCACUGAUGUUCAAAUGGUUAUGGAGGUUUGGGUCGGAGGAGUCGAGCAUGUGGAAAGAUGUGAUUACCAGCAUAUACAACACUAAAUGCUCCACAAUUAUUCCGAAAUAUCCUAUUGCAGGCACUGGAACAACUUGGUCUCGUAUUAUUAAUCAUUGUGUUUCAGAUUAUAGUCUGCAAGACAUUGUGAAACGUUAAGCUGUUAUGCUAGUUGGAAACGGUAAGAGGAUUAAAUUCUGGCUUGAUGACUGGACAUCUACUGGUCGCCUGGCAGAUCAGUUUCCUUCCCUAUUCCGGUUAUCCGAUGAUAAAGAAGCAAGCCUUGAUAAGAUGGGAAUAUGGGAUGGUCAUGCUUGGUUCUGGCUAUUAAACUGGACUAGACCCUUGCGAGGUAGAAACUAUAGUCUUCUAGACCAAUUGAAUGCCAUUCUUUUGAAAGUACAUCCGGAUAAAGAUGAUGAGGAUAGAUUAGUUUGGAAAGCCAACUCCACUGGUAGAUUCUCGGUCAAAUCUCUUUGUGGGCUGCUAAGUCCCAAUCCCCCUAUGGACACUAGCUUCUCUUUUUCUGGGAUUCGAAGAGGAAUCGUCCCUCCUAAAGUUGAAAUAUUCUGCUGGAUGGCUAUCAUUAAAAAAAUUAAUAAUCGUAGUAUGCUGGUCAGAAAAGGAAUUUUGGACAUCUCAGCUGCUGCAGCUUGUCCAAUUUGCUUUGUUGAGGAAGAAUCAGUGGAUCAUAUAUUGCUGCAUUGUCACAAACAUUGGAUAGUUUGGUCUAAAAUUAUCAAUUGGUGGGGCUUAGCGUGGUGUUGCCCAAAGGACUUGGCGGCUCUUUUCUCUUAGUGGGAUUCCUUGGUUUAUGGAAAAUUUCAAAAAAAAGCUUGGUUGAUGUUGUUCUUUUCAGUGACAUGGUCUCUUUGGCUUCUUCGUAAUGAUGUGAUAUUCAAGCAAACAACCCCGAAUUAUGAUACUUUGUUUAUCCUUAUUAUUACUCGUCUCUGCUUUUGGAUAAAGGCUAUAGAGCCUGAUUUCUCUUAUUCCGCUUCAGAAUUAAUAAGGUCAGCAGAAGGGCUGGUUCGAUGGACUAAUUCUUCAAAUCAUAGGGCAGUUGUUGUGUGGUCCCCCCCUAUGACUAAUUGCUUCAAAUGGAAUGUGGAUGGUUCCUCUCUUGGGAAGUCUGGCCCCUCAAGUAUAGGCGGAGUCUUGCGAAAUCAUCAUGGGAUUCUUCUUGGUAUAUUCUCCUCGCCAGUUGGGAUUUUAGACUCCAAUGUAGCUGAACUAAAAACGGUUGUCAAAGCUAUUGAAUUAUCAGCUUCUAACUGUCAUCUGCAUUAUAAACACAUUAUUGUUGAAUCUGACUCGACCAAUGUCAUUAGCUGGAUGAAUAACCCUCAUAAUAGACCUUGGCUGCAUCAUAAUCUUUUCUCCUCUAUUCAGAGAGUAGCUUCAUGUUUUGGUUCACUCACAUUCACUCAUUCUCUUCGUGAGAGUAAUCAUAUGGCAGAUCACAUGGCAAAAAAGGGGGUGUUUAGAAACUCUAAAUGGGUCGCUUGGCUCUAAUCUGCUUGAUAUUUGGGCCUUUCUUUUUUCUUUAAAUUCUGGUUGCGGAUGCAAAGGAAACUGGAUUGUUUCCCAGAUUACUCUAUUUUUAGAAAGGAGAAGAAUCAUCAAGCUAUACAGAAGCAAUUCCAGCUGGUCAGAUCUUUGUCUUUUGUGAAACUUCUUGGUUUCAGAUUCUGAUGUUGUAAGUCUAGGGGCUUUUGUUGAUGGGCUUCCUUUUGCCUGCUAUGAUUUUCUAUGUUAGUGUCUUGGUUCUUUUAUUGUUAAGUUGUCAAAGGCUUUCUGUGAAGAGUCCAUGGCUGGUAUUUUGUUUCGGAUAAGAAGAUGCAAGAUGGAAAGAUUUUGUUUUACUUCUAAUCUGGAUAUCGGUAGAAGUCUGUUUGGCUUCUCUUCCUGGUAUGGCUCCAAAUCUGCAUCUUUUAGCUGCUUCUUUGAUUUCUUGGCUUCAAAUAUGUAUAUUGUAGCUGCAUUUUGUUCUUUUCGUUUCUUGGUAUGUUGUUCAUUUCAUUGCAUAGUUCUGUUUAGGUGUCCUGUAAACAGAAUCUCUAUAUUCCCAUCAUCUAUUGGCGUCUUCUAAUGCAAUAUUAUACUUCUCAAAAAAAAAAAAAACCAGCACAUUCCCUUGCAAUAUCUUUUGCAAUUCCUUCCACUUUUGAUGAAAGUGCUUUGUCACAUCCAAGAUUCUCCUUGAACAAAGUCCAAGCUUCUCCCUCAAAAAGUGGCUUUACUUUGAUUUUGUGAUCGCAAGCAAUUCCAUGACAAACCAUUUCUGAUCGAGUUGUCAAAAUCAGCUUGCAUCCUUCCAACUUCUCAGGAAUUCCCACUUUGUGUAGCUUAAAAUUGACGUUUGGCAAUAAUAUUUUGCAGUCUAUUAAUGCUGAAAUCUUGAGACACAGUCACCCACCAAACAUGAUAACAAAUAUCUGGUCUUUGUAGAAGCUCAUUAUGGAUAUGUUGCAGUAUUGUGGAUUUACCAACUCCCCCCAUCCCAUAAAUGCCAAUGGUUGAGACAUCCCCAUCCAUUAACAAAGACCAUAUCACCUUCGUAUUCUCUUCGAAUGCUUGACCCACUGGCUUUGUAGAGCUAAGAGGUAAUAGAAGUCCUCUAGUCUUGUUGUAUUUCAGACUUUCAGAAGAUCUAGCUACAACACCAACCUGCACUGAUCUUUGACUAUUCUCAACAUCCUCCUCCACUGGUUCUGUCCUCACUCUAACCCGAUUAAUUCUAUCUUCCCCGGCACCUUGUUCCAGCACCCCCUGAACUCCAACUUGUAUCCUUCCAGCACCCCCAGCCAAAUUGCCAAGUACUGCAUUGCUUUGUUCCAACGAUCGAUCCACUGGUUCUGUCCUCGGUCUGCUCUCGAGUGCCCCUUCGGAAACUCCAUCUUCUUGUGCUCUCAUUCCGGUCAUGCUCACUACGUCGUUUCCCGCUAUUGCAUGUGAAGUAAUCCUCUCUUCCCCUACUCCAGGUUCUACAACCUGAACUUCUCUUUGUACCCUUCCAAUUCCUCCUACCAUUCUUGAAAUUCCACAAUCAUUAACAUUGAUUGAACCUGCUGUGAUUUUAUGUUGACAGUUGCCUCAUUUGCUGCUGAAGAAGAGGUCUUCGAUGCUGUGAAGAUCCAGUCAAGAUUGACUCCAGAUUGUUAGGAUGUUAGUUGCAAAUAAAGCUGUCAUAGAUCAGCUCUUUCUCUGUUUUUAUCUUUUCAAUAUUUUUCGGAAUUCUGUUAUCAAACUCUUCUAUAAAAGAGUGUUUUAUCAAUAAAGAAAGUACACUUCAAUUCACAACAUUUAUAUCUUUAUCUUAUUGCUGAGUUCUUGCCUGUUCUUAUACAAUUUGUUACUGUCGUAAACAACAAAUUGGUAUCAGAGCACAUUGAUUUUAAAGGGACCAGCUUGUGAGAAAGAGAGAAACCUGUGAGAAACCCUUCUUCCACCAAAAAACCACAAAACACCAAAACCAAAACCUUUCAUCAUUCUUUCAAAUGGCAUCCAACACUUAUUCUCUUGCAACACCACCAGUAUUUACUGGUGUGAACUACCAAAUGUGGGCUGUGAGAAUGAAAACUUACUUACAAGCCUGCGAUUUAUGGGAUGCUGUUGAACAAGAACAUGAACCUCAGCCUCUUCCUGCAAAUCCAACCAUAGCCCAAAUCAGAAAUAAUCGUGAGGAGAGAUCAAGGAAGUUCAAAGCCAAAACUUGUCUCUAUGCUGCUGUUUCUGAAGCAAUAUUUCCAAGAAUAAUUGCUUUUGAUACAGGCAAACAAAUAUGGAAUUAUCUCAAGGAGGCGUUCCAUGGUAAUGAGAGGACAAUUCAAAUGCAGGUUUUGAAUUUGAGAAGGGAGUUCGAAAUGCAGAAGAUGAAGGACUCAGAAACUAUCAGAGAUUUUUCUGAUAGAUUACUCUCCAUAGUCAACAAAAUAAGACUAUUGGGAGAGGAGCUUUCUGAUCAAAGGGUUGUUAAAAAGAUCCUUGUGACUUUACCCGAGAGGUUUGAGUCAAAGAUAUCCUCAUUAGAAGAAGCCAAAGAUCUGUCAAAAAUAUCUUUGGGAGAAUUGUUAAAUGCCUUACAAGCUCAAGAACAAAGGAGAACUAUAAGGCAAGAAGAAUCCAUGGAAGGAGCUUUUCCAGCAAAGGUGCAAGUCCAAGAAGGUGACAAAGGGAAAAGGAAGAACAUCAAAUACAAGGGAGCAGGCAGUAACAAUCGAAGAAUUGGAACCUUUCCCCCUUGUCAACACUGUAAGAAAACAAAUCACUCACAAAACUACUGUUGGUGGAGACCUGAUGUUAAAUGCAGGAAAUGCAAUCAGCUGGGACACAUGGAAAAAAUCUGCAAGAACAGAACAAAUCAAUAGCAUGAAGAGGCUCAAGUUGCUGAUCAACAACAGGAGGAACAAUUGUUUGUGGCCACCUGUUUUGUAAGCAAGCAUGCAAGUGAUUGCUGGUUGAUAGACAGUGGUUGCACAAAUCACAUGACAAAUGAUGUGAAUUUGUUCAAACAUCUUGAUAAAUCAAGUGUCUCAAAAGUCAGAAUUGGUAAUGGCGAAUAUAUUCCUGUCAAAGGAAAAGGGACAGUGGCCAUCGAAGGGAAUUCAGGUAUUAAACUCGUUUCAGAUGUCCUUUUUGUACCUGAAAUCGAUCAAAACCUGUUGAGUGUUGGCCAACUUCUUGAAAAAGGAUACUCGGUUGUUUUCAAGAACAAACACUGUUUAAUUUCUGAUCCUACUGGAUUAGAGAUUUUCACCAUAAAAAUGCAAGGGAAAAGCUUUUCUCUAGAUUGGAUGGAAGAGGAGAUAGCAGCAGUAUCAAACACAACAAAUGAAGCUGAAUUAUGGCAUAAGAGGAUGGGCCACUUCAAUCAAGCAGCUUUGGUUCAUAUGCAGAGAAGGAAGAUGGUGAGAGGGGUGCCCAGCCUAGAAGAAAAAAUCACGGUUUGUGUUUCUUGUCAAUAUGGCAAGCAACACAGACUUGGAUUUCCUCAAAACAAAGCUUGGAGAGCAAGUGAAAAACUUCAGCUUAUUCACACUGAUGUUGCAGGCCCUCAGAUGACAGAUUCAUUAAAUGGCAGCAGGUAUUAUGUUGCUUUCAUUGACGAUUAUACAAGAAUGUGUUGGGUGUAUUUUUUAAAAUCCAAAGCUGAAGUAGCAGGUGUCUUUUUGAGGUUUAAAAACUGGGUUGAAAAUCAAAGUGGUCAUAAAAUUCAGAUUGUGAGGUCUGACAAUGGCACAGAAUAUACUUCAAACAAAUUUGCCCAGUUUUGUCAUGAUGCAGGGAUUGAACAUCAAUACACUACACCUUACACACCUCAGCAAAAUGGUGUGAGUGAGAGGAAGAACAGGACAAUCAUGGAGAUGGCAAGGUGCUUAUUAUUGAGAAAGAUUUGCCCAAGAAAUUCUGGGCAGAAGCUGUGAACACUGCUGUGUUCUUGUUAAACAGGCUGCCAACAAGAGCAUUACAACACAAAACACCUUAUGAAGCUUGGCAUGGUUAUAAACCCUCACUUCAAAACUUAAAAGUGUUUGGAUGCUUAUGUUUCACUCAUAUACCUCAGGUGAAAAGAGAUAAGCUUGACAGGAAGGCUGAAGCUGGAAUUUUCGUUGGCUAUAGCAAUGUCACAAAAGGCUAUAGAGUUUAUCAACCUGCAACUGAAAAGUCAUAAUCAGCAGAGACAUUAAAUUCGUUGAAGCUGAAAAAUGGAAUUUUGAAGAUACAACAAGCAAUGCAAGUAAGGAGAUCAUGCAAGAUUUUGAUAAAGAUGUUGAUGACACACCAGUCAGAGGAACCAGACUUCUUGCAGACAUUUAUCAAAGCUUCAAUGUGGCUGUGCUUGAACCUGCAGAAUAUGAGGAGGCCAAAAAUGAUCCAAGAUGGGUCACAACAAUGAAAGAAGAGCUAAGCAUGAUUGAGAAGAAUCAAACAUGGGAAUUAGUGGAUAUGCCGACACACAAAAAACCCAUUGGUGUGAAAUGGGUUUACAGAACAAAAUUGAAUGCAGAUGGCACUAUCAACAAACACAAAGCUAGGCUUGUGGUCAAAGGCUAUGCACAAGUCUUUGGUGUGGAUUUUUCAGAAACAUAUGCCCUAGUAGCUCGACUUGACACCAUCAGAAUGUUGCUAGCAAUUGCAGCUCACAAAGGUUGGAAAAUAUUUCAACUUGAUGUGAAGUCUGCAUUUUUGAAUGGUUACCUGCAGGAGGAGAUUUACGUGGAACAACCUAAAGGUUUCAUGGUAGAAGGAGAAGAAGACAAGGUUUACUUAUUGAAGAAAGCUUUAUAUGGACUGAAACAGGCUCCAAGAGCCUGGUAUAGCAGGAUUGAUGAGCAUUUACUCAAACAUGGCUUCAACAAAAGUUUAAGUGAAUCGACCUUAUAUAUCAAGAGUUCAAACACUGGUUUUAUGGCUGUUUCACUUUAUGUGGAUGAUUUAUUUGUUACAGGUAACAAUUCAACCAUGAUGGACAUCUUCAAAGCUGAAAUGAUGGAAGUUUUUGAGAUGACAGACCUUGGUGAAAUGUCCUAUUUUCUUGGCAUGGAAGUGCAGCAAAAUCAGCUUGGGAUCUUUGUUUGCCAACAAAAGUAUGCCAAAGAGAUUCUGAAGAAAUUCAAAAUGGAAGACUGCAAAUCAAUGACCACGCCCAUGAAUUUGAAAGAGAAGUUCAGUAAAGAAGAUGGGGCAGACAAGGUGGAUGAAGCAAUUUACAGGAGCUUAAUUGGGUGUCUAAUGUACCUUGCGGCAACAAGGCCAGACAUCAUGCAUGCAGUGAGCUUAUUAUCUAGGUUCAUGCAUUGUGCUAGUGAAAUACACUUCAAGGCUGCAAAAAGAGUGGUGAGAUACAUAAAAGGUACACUAAACUAUGGCAUUCAGUUUAGUUGUGCUGAAAAUUUCGAGCUACAAGGAUAUGCAGAUAGUGAUUGGGCUGGCAGCUGUGAUGAUAUGAAGAGCACGUCUGGAUAUUGUUUUAGUUUUGGAUCAGGAAUUUUCUCCUGGUGUUCCAAAAAACAAGAAGUUAUUGCUCAAUCAACGGCAGGAGCAGAGUAUGUUGCAGCUACUGCAGCUGCAAAUCAAGUCUUAUGGCUUAGAAAAAUCCUAGCAGAUCUGGACAUGGAGCAAAGGGAAGCUACUAAAGUUAAUGUUGACAAUCAAGCUGCAAUUGCAAUAUCUAACAAUCCAAUUUUCCAUGGGAAAACAAAGCAUUUCAAGCUCAAGUAUUAUUUUCUAAGAGAAGUUCAGAAAAAUAAAGAACUGCAACUGAUUUAUUGCAAGACAGAAGACCAGCUUGCUGAUAUAUUAACCAAGCCAUUGCCAAAAGCAAGGUUUGAAACUUUGAGGAACAAGAUAGGAGUCUGCAGCAAAAGAUGCAAGGAGGAGUGUUGACAGUUGCCUCAUUUGUUGCUGAAGAAGAGGUCUUCGAUGCUGUGAAGAUCCAGUCAAGAUUGACUCCAGAUUGUUAGGAUGUUAGUUGCAAAUAAAGCUGUCAUAGAUCAACUCUUUCUCUGUUUUUAUCUUUUCAAUAUUUUUCGGAAUUCUGUUAUCAAACUCUUCUAUAAAAGAGUGUUUUAUCAAUAAAGAAAGUACACUUCAAUUCACAACAUUUAUAUCUUUAUCUUAUUGCUGAGUUCUUGCCUGUUCUUAUACAAUUUGUUACUGUCGUGAACAACAUUUUAUGUCUUUUGUUGCCACCACACAUAGCUUUCCAAGCUGCUUCUUGUUCUUUAGGCACCCCAUGAAAAAUGAUGGUCUCAUUGUAUGGGUGACGAACCCCAGAAAAAUGAUGGUCUCAUUGUAUGGGUGACAAACCCCAGAAAUAUGAUGGUCUCAUUGUAUGGGUGACGAACCCCAGAAAAAUGAUGGUCUCAUUGUAUGGGUGACGAACCCAAGAAAAAUGAUGGUCUCAUUGUAUGGGUGACGAACCCCAGAAAUAUGAUGGUCUCAUUGUAUGGGUGACGAACCCCAGAAAUAUGAUGGUCUCAUUGUAUGGGUGACGAACCCAAGAAAAAAUGAUGGUCUCAUUGUAUGGGUGACGAACCCCACGUGGAAAAAAUGUGAAGUGCGGUCUCAUUGUAAUGGGUGACCUACCCACGUGGAAAGAAUAUGAAAAAGUGGUCUCGUUGUGAUGGGCGACCUACCCAAAUAGAAAGAAUGUGAAGUGCGGUCUCAUUGUAAUGGGUGACCUACCCAGAUGGAAAAAAUGUGAUAUGACAAGUGUGAAAAAUAGGACUUACCUGGCGAAGUUCUGAAGGGAUGAUAGAAGAAAGGGCUGGAAAACUUGGUGCUUCCUGAUAAUUCUUGAUCAUAGGGUUUGAAAACUCGGUGUUUCCUGACUGCAAGGGUUGAAAACUCGAGGCUUCCCGAUUGCAAGGUUGAUCUUUUCAUUUCUUUGGGAUUUUCCUAAUGGUAGGGUUCAUCCCAUCGUCCUUUUAUUCCAUGAUCAAAACCGAUUCUUUAUUUAUCAUCACCACAAUGCUUCUUUCUCUUUCCACCAUCUUGCUGGACCCCAUUAGGGAUUUUCCUGUAACAAUUCAAAAAUACGUGCAAAUGUUUUUUUUUUUUUUUAGGUUAGAUGAUAUACAUGCAUCCUUACCUGAUUUGAAAUAUAGGUCCCCCCCUCUUUGAUGCUCCAUCGCCAUAGGGUGCCUUUGUUUGCAUUCCACAGCAUUCCUUGUUCUUUCGAUGUAUUGGCUCAUUCAUGUGCUAGCCAUCCACUCAACUGUAAAUGCAGUGCCCAUCCCGGGUUGUCUUUGACAAUUACUGCUCGCAUCGUUCAUCAAGCUUGACCCUGCCCCCAAGUGUGGUGCUGCUUGAUUCAUUAUGAAGGAUUUUCUCUCUUGGAUUCUUCUGAGAGUUAUCCUUUGAUUGAUUGUGUGCAUCAUGUCCAUACCCCAUCAAGAUUGUUAAUCAGUCAUUGUAAGCGCGAUGUAUUUCUCUAUGGAUUCCUUUUAGCUUGUCAAAUCAGAUCGUGAAAGCAACUGCUUUGGCAUCAUCAAUGAUGUUCAUGUUAUCACCCAUAUUCAUGCGGUGAAGUGCGCAUUUGAGCUUCAGAAUAGAUGGUCCCAUAGUCAAUCUUGGUGGUAUGCAUAUGUUCGAUGUUCAUUCAAAUGCACUCACCCGAUAACAUCUGUCAGGAGUCAUAGCCAUGUUUUACAGGGUAACCCAAGAUGAAGAUAUGAAGAUAUCCUUCAAGUGCAGCGUUGCUCAUCAAUUGCUGCUGAAGUGCACUAGAUCAUGGAUUGUGUUUGAACAACAUUGCCCCCAAUAUGAUCUGAAGGUUCGCUCAUCGGUUUAUACUCAAGAAGGUUUUUCUUUAUCAUUGUCAGAUGUUAAAACUUUCCGGGACUUUGAUGACUCAUCAUCUGAUUCUUUCUUUGCCCCUAGCUGAUCAGGAUAUUGUUUGUUUUCCUUCUUCGGGUCCACUGUAUUGCCCCCAAGUGGUCAACCUUUCAAGGAGUUUUGAGAAGAGUUGAUGUCAUUUUUGUCAAGGACUUUGCAAACUCAAUUGAUGUUCUUGUUUGAAAAUCUUUCUUGUUCUGGAAUCAAAUCUCACAUUUCAACGAUCAUGUCUAUUCAAGUCUAAUUGUUGAAAUGAAAUCAGAGAGAUGUCUGUUUUUGAAAUUUUUUUUUUUUUUUUUUGAAAUUCAAACUUCUUUGGUCAAAGACCCAACACACUAUUCAAUGCAGUCCUUUGAUUGUCUUGUAUCUUGAAAACAGAAAUGAACCGUUGUAAGAUUUAAAAUGACUUUUUCAUGGUUCUUUGUGUCCACUUUAAACUCUGAUUUUGGGUAUAUCUUUUGAUGGUCUGUGCUGAGGUGACAUUUUUAUGAAUUUCAAAUGACUAGAUGCUCAGGCUUUAUCAAGAAAGGUUGUUUCUUUUCUUAGCAUUUAUUUUAUCAGCAUGCAUAAUAACCAGUAGCUUAAUUCAUGAAGUCACGACCCUUAUGGAAAAGCUCUUCAAGUUUUGAGAGCGCCAUUUUUCGAUUCAAAUUGCUUGCUUGAUUAAAAAGGGCUUUUAAAAGCACGUAAUGCAGGCUAUGGUUCAUGGCUAUGAAAGAAAAGAAUUGCAAAGGCUCAAAAGGUGUUUGAGGGUUUCAAACUUAGGAUCAACAUUAACUAUUCAUCGAUUCUCUUUCUCUUGUCGUCAUUGUAGAGAAAGUGACAUAUAACCUUGUUAAUCUUAAAUAUCAGACUUCUCUUAACAUAAGUCAUAAUGCAAAUCCACUUUUCCUUGAUGAAUAACCAACCUUAAUCAUCUGAUAACAUCGUAGGCUUUAUAAUGGAUCCCAAAAGUCAACGUUUAUAGCUUAGUCUUUUUUCUAGUAUUGACUUUUGUUGUGCCUCUCUUUGAUUGAAAUUUCUUUUGCUCUUCCUAGACUUGAUAGACGUUUUCCUUCCUUUACCUUUGACUUGUAUUUAAGUGAAGGCAAUUUCAACUUCUUCUUUUUUUCGUUUUUUUUUUUCAUUCUCUUUUUUCAUAGCCUUCCUCAAAAUUUUCUGAUAUGCCCCCAUGUCUAUGUGUUUUCUUUUACCUCUCUCUCAAUCAUUGGACCUUUGUUCUAAGCCUUCCCCUUUAUCCAUUAAUUAUAUCAAUGUCUCCAAAAUAUCUCUCAUUUGCCCCCAAUGUGGGGUGUGAUCCUAGUCAGGGUUUCUUUUUUUAAAAGAAAAUAUUUUACCAGGCUCAAAAUGGGACUGCAAGGGAUAUAAUCUUUAGAAAGUGAAGGGAUAUCAAAGAUGGCCUUUUCUCAUUUCAAACAAGGUCGGUUAGAACCGAUAAAUUUUGACCUCAACCAGUGUAAUGAUUGGGACUUGUAAGAAUCAUGAUUCACGAGUCCAUAACUACCGAAUCCACUACAUGUCAUUAUGCAUAUUGUUAAAACUUAGCUAUAUGAUGUGUGGUUCAGUUUCAGGAGGUAUGAGUUUAAAAUUGUUUAGUCACCUCAUGUCGUUUUCAAGCAUCGAGUCAUUUCUGUAAUCGAAACACUUUUAAUCUUCCGCAAUGAUUAACUUUUAUCGCAUGUUGGAGUUUGAUCAAAAUAUUUUGUCAGAAUAAAAUGUUGAACAUCUGUUGAUUUCAAAACAACAAAGAGACAAAAGCAAGGCAUGUUUCGUUGAAGGAUGAGAUGUGAUCCCAAAACAAAAUGCAGAAUUCCAUAACAAUAUGAUUGACUGUUCAUCACCAUUCUCGAAUCAGCUUUUCUGGCAAUAUCUGUGUUUAGCAAAGCAUUUUCGAUCACAUGUGAUUCUGAAGUUGUUCGGGGAACAAUAUAGCCAGUGACACCCUUCUUCAACGACUCCACCUGUCUCUUGCUCACCAACUUUCAGACUCCAUUCUUGCAAUUCUUGAAACUAUUCACUUGAAAUGGUUGAGGACCCCACCAUGACAUCACAUCUCUUAUCUGGAUUAUACCACUGAGAAAUUGGUGGUUGCAUGGGAAUUUGUCGGAGUCAAGCAAAAUUCUGGAAUCAUGCGGAUGCUGGUUGACAACUUAAACGGCAGAGGAAUGUCCCAUCUUGGCAAAGAUAUUUGGGCAAUUGAUGCUGUCGUGAGACCUGGCUAUACCACAUAAUUAAGGGUUCACAACGUCAAAGUCAUCUCCUGAUUCACCUCUCAUCAUUGUUCUAAGAAUUCAUGGCAGAUCCUUCAAUCUUUCCUCUCUUCAUAACUUGUUCAAUUUCGUCAGCAAUCCUCACAACAUCAUGUCAAUCUUCCAAUGUUGUUGUGGUUUGAGGAUUGUUGGAACCCUCUUAAACCCUCUUAAUUCUGGCAGCGCCCAAAAACAAAAGCGUGUGGAAUCACACAUUGUCAAAAUUGGAAGAGAACCCGAUGAAUCUACAACAUCUUCUAUUUCCUCUUUGAUUCUUCACUGAUGGUGCAGCAAACAACCACUUUUGUGUUUUAAUGCCGAUACUGGAAAAAGAAAAUUAUGGACAAUCUGAAACCAAUGCAUCCCUUCUUGGAUUUCCCAUUUGCAUAUCCCCAAACGGAUUCAUGUCGAGAGAUCUCUGCUACGUUGAAUUUGGAUGUCUGCUCAUGUUUUUUCAAACCAAGUCUGGCUCUUCAACCUGCUACAGUUUCUUCACGUUGAAAUCGAUGAGAGAAAUAUUUGUAGCAUAUGCAAUUAGUAAAUCCCCUCUUGCACUCUCACCUUGCAGCAUCAUCAACAGAUUUUUGUAGAGAGAGCUCUGCCACGUUGAAGUUUGACGACUACUCAUAUUUUCAGACCAGGCUUGACUCCUCUGUCUACUACAAAGUUUUGCUCGUGCCACAUGUAGAAAUUCAGUGUCUAAUCAUGGUUUUUCAGACCAACAUCUUGUGCUGCUGAAAUGGAAUUAAGCUCAUAAUAAGGGCAGCUUCCAAGAAGACUAAUGCAUCAUGUACAGGAGACCGGUUGUUUUUUGGUUCCAUUAGAUGAUGUGGAGGCGAUGAACAUUUAACAAUGCAACUGGAUAAGAACCAGAGUUGUCAUUAGUUGAUGACUGAAGGCGUUGUUGCUUUUGUUCAUGACGAAAAAGGAGAGAUACAGCUUCAAUUAGAUGUGAAGCAGUGUUCCCACAGAAGACUGUGCAGAUAUUCUCUUUCCAUUUGAUGCUCAACACUUGUUCGAGCAGAUCUGAGUCUAACUACUUCACAUUUAAUGCUCUCAACCUUAAUCUGAUAAUGAGCCUCUAUCUGACAUCUUUCUUCACCUCCAUCAUUUUUUCUCCAAUCACGUGCAGCACAACUUGUGUGGGGGACCUACCUUUCAACCCGGUACAUGCAUGAUAAAUGUAUGAACAUGUAAUCUAUAUGAUAAACUCACCCUUCGAGGGGUGACAAUAUGGUCGUAACUCUUGUAUGAUGGACAAGAAUCGUGAUUUUUGCCCAAACUCUACAAUGAAAAUUUUCGGAGCAACGGCCAAUGUGUCACCCACAAGUCUUGAGUUCAAGAUGCUUCAAGAAGGGUUUGCCCUUAAAAAACGAUAGCACAUACAACCUAAGGACAAGUUCUAUUCAUUAUGUGAACAUGGGUAGGUUUUCUAUCUGGUCUCAAAAGGGUCUCAUAUCUGCCCAGUGACAUUCUUCGUAAAGACAGUAUGGGGGCGUUGCAAAGAAUGGUUAAGGCACGUAUACCCCCCAUUACCAAGCAGGCACUCAGAUAUAAGUUGGGUGUUUCACGCAUCUGAACCCUGACCAAUAGUCUUAGGGCAGAUCGCUAGUUCCCCACCUAACCUAGAAACUUGUGUGUGCUUUUAAAAAUAAAUACAGGUGAUGCAUGAGACAAUUCUAUAAAAUGCAUGGAAAUAAAUAUUAACAAAAAGAUAAAAAUGCAAAAACUUAAACACAUCAAAUACACAAAGCUUAGUCCAAUAAUCGAAAAAAUACCUUCCGCAGUGGAGUCGCCAUUCUGUCGCACCCCAAAAAAAUCAGCGCGCGACAUCUGCUGGCGAUUUUUAUCGUUGUCGUGUUGUGUUUGAAUUUGGUUCGUUGGAGUCGCCACCUAGUAAUUGAUUUCGGGUUACUAGGAAACCGGAUGUACUGGUCUUGUCAGAGAUUCGCGGGUAAGGGACUGGUUGUGGUUAGGGAAGGUAUUAGCACCCCUAACGCACCCUACCUGAGGUAAGCUGCUUCGUGGCUUUGACGUGUUAAAGAAGUUUUAAUAAUUGUCUUUUCAUCAGAAAUUAGAAAUAUCACUUACGUAUAAGUUAAUAAUUCUUAACCGUGAUCCGAUCAAAAUAUUAAAUUCUUCUUUAAUAUAUUUGCAAUUUUAUCCUAAAAUAUAUAUAUAUAUAUAUAUAUAUAUACAAAUAAAUAAAACAAAAUACAAACACACCCAUUCACUAUUUUCAUUUCUUUUAUUUUUCUUUUCUUUUUUCUUUUCUUUUACAUCCACAAUACAAAUACAAAUACAAAUACAAAUUCAAAUUCAAAUUCAAAAUAAAUAAAUAAAAAUACACCAACACACACAUCCCCUUUUUUAUUAUUAUUUUUUUUUCUUUUCUUCUUUUUUUUUUCUUUUACAUUCACAUAUUACAAAUUUAAAAUAAAUAAACAAAAAUUACAUUAAAACUUUAAAAUUUACAAAAUGGUCCCUCAAAACUCCCGAAAUUGCAGGGAAGGACUUCUGCACCCGAAUGAACAGUUCUGGCGCGUCUUCCCACGUGCCACCGCCACUGGGAAGGACUUUGUGGGUUCACGCGCCGCCCAGAAAUUCAGGCGGCGUGAGGGGGCUGCAAUGGCUUCCUCCCCUCUUCAAUCUCUUGUUGUCUGUCACCUGCAAAUCCAAAAAAAAAAAAAAAACACAGCAAGGGCAGUCGAUUUUAAGUUUUUUUCUUAGUUUUUCAAAUCUGUUUUUUUUGUUCUUUCUUUUCAGAUCUGCAGUUCAUCCCUUCUCCUUCUUCGGAUCUGCUUCUCCUUCUCUUCGUCUCGGUUUCGGAUGGCCGGAGGUUGUAGGGGGAGCUGUGAGCGGUCAGUUGAAGAAGGAGCCCGGUGGCGGUCUGUGGAGAUAUGGUCGUGGCUGAGGAGAGACGGCCUGGUGCGCGGCUGUCCGAGUGAGAGAGAUUCUGGUGAGGGGCUGUAGGUGCUGUGUGGAGAAUGGCCGACCGAUCUACGACUGAUGGCGCCGUUGUGGUGGGCGGAGCUGCUGUGGUGGACGGCGCUGCUGGCUCCUACGGAUGAAGAAGAAAGGCAAGCCGGCUUGGAGAAGGAGUGGCCAAGAGUGGGGAGGGGAUGAUGGCUUUGAAAUGGCCGAGAAGAAGGGAAAAUCUGGUGAUGGGGGUGGCGGCCGGUUCUGGUUAGAGAGGGCAGAUUUGUGGCUGUUCGUUGGGGAGAAGAGAAACAAAAAAUGGCCUGGGGUGAGGCUUGUCCGGCGGCUGAGGGGAAGAAGAAAUUCAAACCGGCUGGGGGCUGCUGUUUAGCCGGUUCUGGGAGAAGAAAAAUUCAAAAAAAAAAAAAGGUGAGGGGCUGGCUUUUUGGUUGAGCGGCUGCAGGGAGAAGAGAAAAAAUCAAAAGGUGGGGGGGCGGCGGCUGCCUUCAUAAGGGGAGAAAAAAUUAGGCUCCUAGGGUUUUCUUUUUUUUGUAUCUUUUUUUGAUAUUUCAAAAUUGCCCCCCCCCCUUUAAAAAUCAGUUUAGCAUGGUAUUUAUAGGCAAAAAUAUUGCUAGGUUUUUCGACUUGGUCCCUCAACUUCUUUCUUUUUGUAAAUUUUGAUUUUUCUUAUUUUUUUGUAUUUUUUUGAAAACGAGCAAUAUCAACGUCGACUCAAAUGCGGAAAAUCAAUGAUUUUUAAAAAUGACGCGUGAAAAGUCGAAUGCGUUUGAAAAUAUUUUAACAAUUUAAAUUCUUUUUUAGACGACGUUGAAAAUGCUAAAAUGACGAAAAUAUAUUCAAAACACAUUUUUUGGAUUUUCUUUGUUUUUCUCAAUUUUUUGGAUUUUUAAAAAUAUAUCAAAACAUGGGUCAAAAAUUGGGUAGCAACAAUUUUAACAAACUUGUAAAUUAAGUUAAUUUUAUAUAAAAAAAAAAGAAUAAAAAUUAAUAAAUUAAAGCUGAAUUAUAACCAGCCUAUAAUAAAAUAAACAAAAACAAAAUUUUAAAAACAAAACAAAAAAGGCAAAACACCUUGAAUUACAUACUAUUGUAAUUUACAAUGAAAUAGGUGUGGAUAUAUAGUGAUUCUCCCAAGUCUCUUAGCUUUUCUUUUAAUGAAAAUUAAUAACUGUAUAAUAUACUUGUUGCAACUAAGUCAUUUAAUAAAUGUCCUAGUCUUUAGGAUUAAGAGAUAAGAUUUGAUUUAUUCCUUGUUUACUAAACCACGUUUGUAGGAGUGCUAAACGUGGGUUGCAUAUUUUUCUAUUUUCUGUUGUAAUAGUUGAUAUAUAUAUCAGCUCUAUUUCAUUGAAUAAACGUACUUUCCAUUCUCUCCAUAGUGGUAUCAGAGCACGUUACCAUCAGGGCCUGAUUGAGAAAUAUAAGAACCUGCAGUGUUCUUGUGAAGAGAGAGUGCAGAGAAGGAACAAAGUGAGAGUAGGAUGGCAUCCGAAGGAAAUUUUGUUCAACCAGCUAUUCCCAGGUUUGAUGGUCACUAUGAUCAUUGGGCCAUGCUGAUGGAAAAUUUCCUACGAUCCAAAGAGUAUUGGAGUUUGAUUGAGGCAGGAAUUCCAACAGUUGGAACUGGAACAGAACAGACGGAGGCACAACAAAAGACUGUUGAAGACAUGAGGCUGAAAGAUUUGAAGGUAAAAAAAUAUCUCUUUCAAGCCAUUAUGGAGACAAUCUUGAAUAGAGAUUCAGCAAAAGGAAUAUGGGAUUCCAUGCAUCAAAAGUAUCAAGGAUCUACUAAGGUGAAACGGGCUCAACUACAAGCAUUACAGAGAGAAUUUGAGCUUCUUGGAAUGAAAGCAGGAGAGAGUGUUGAUGACUAUUUCUGUAGAACUCUUACCAUUGCCAACAAGAUGAAAUCUCAAGGUGAAUGCAUGGAACAAACUGUUAUCAUUGAGAAGGUUCUACGAUCCAUGACAACAAAGUUUGAUUAUGUCGUGUGCUCCAUCGAAGAAUCAAAUAAUCUUGUUAUCAUGACCAUUGAUGAACUUCAAAGCAGUUUGCUUGUGCACGAGCAAAGAAUGAAGGGCCACAAAGAGGAAAAGCAAGCUCUAAAAGUUACUGGUGGGGAGAGGUUUGAAGCAAGGGAGGAUGAUAGAAUUGGGAGCAGAAACAAAAGUCGUGGAGGAUUCAGAAGCAGAGGCAGAGGUCGAGGAAGGCAAUCUUUCAACAAAGCUCUCAUUGAGUGCUAUCGUUGUCAUAAACUACGACAUUUUUCUUAUGAAUUUCCUAGUUGGGAAAAGGCAGCAAAUUAUGUGGAACUAGAAGAAGAAGAUGAUAUGUUGCUCAUGUCAUACGUGGAACCUAACAAUUCCACCAAAGAAGAGGUAUGGUUUUUAGACUCCGGUUGUAGCAGUCAUAUGAGUGGGAACAAACUGUGGUUUACACAGUUAGAUGAAGGGUUCAGACACUCAGUUAAGCUAGGCAACAAUUCUAAAAUGGCAGUGAUGGGAAAGGGAUGUGUGAAGCUUAACAUAGCUGGAGUGAUGCAAAAGAUUGAUGGGGUUUACUAUAUCCCUGAAUUAAAAAACAAUUUGUUAAGUAUGGGUCAACUACAGGAGAAAGGCUUAUCUAUACUUAUUCAAAACAAUACGUGCAAAUUGUUCCAUCCAACUAAAGGUCUCAUCAUGGAUACAACCAUGACUUCUAACAGAAUGUUUGUCAUAGGUGCAGUAAUGCCUUCAAAGGAACCUGUGGCUUUCUUUCAAGCUACUGAGACAGAAAAAACACAACUAUGGCACAACAGGUUUGCUCAUCUUAAUUUCAAAGGUUUAAGAACAUUGCAUUCCAAGAAGAUGGUUGAAGGGUUGCCAUUACUUUCAGCUCCAAUGAAAGUGUGUAUUGAUUGUUUAGCGGGAAAACAACACAGGAACAACAUUCUACAGAAAAGCUACUGGAGAGCAACAUGCAAACUGCAACUUGUGCAUUCUGAUAUUUAUGGACCUGUAACUCUAGAAUCCAACAGUGGAAAAAGGUACCUUAUCACUUUCAUCGAUGAUUUUAGUAGAAAGUGUUGGGUUUAUUUCAUUUCAGCAAAGUCAAAAGCUUUUACUAUGUUCAAAAAAUUCAAAAGCUUAGCAGAAAAGGAGGCUGGUUCAUUAAUGGGGUGCUUAAGAACCGACAGAGGUAGGGAAUUUACGUCUAAAGAAUUCAAUGAGUAUUGUCUUUUCAAUGGGAUCAAAAGACAACUAACUGCAGCAUACACGCCUCAGCAAAAUGGUGUUGCUGAGAGGAAGAACCGGGCAAUCAUGAAUCUAGUUAGAAGCAUGGUGUUAGAAAAACAUAUUCCUGGAGAGUUUUGGCCAGAGGCAGUGAACUGGUGUGUACAUGUACUAAACAAGAGCCCUACUUUGGCAGUCAAAGAUCUCACACCUGAAGAAGCAUGGAGUUGUGUUAAACCUUAAGUGGCAUACUUUCGUGUAUUCGGUUGUAUUGGUCACAUUCAUAUUCCAAAUGUGAAAAGAACAAAGCAAGAUUCAAGGAGUUCAAAGUGUGUAUUACUGGGAGUAAGUGAAGAAACAAAAGGCUACAGAAUGUAUAAUCCAAUCACAAAGAAAAUUGUGAUUAGCCGUGAUGUGAUCUUUGAAGAAAACGAAGUUUGGGACUGGACAGAAGGUGAUAUCAAUGUAUUGCUGAAAUGGGGAGAUGCUGAGAUCGAUGUAGCUGAAGAAUUUGAUGCUGAAAUUGAAGAGCAGGAUCAAGAGUAGUUUGGAGAGCAAGAACAAGAGCAGCAUGAAGUAAAUAAUUCUUCAGUUGGAGUAAUUAGUUCUUCUUCAUCAAAUUCAUCUUCAAUAAACUCAACUAAAGAAAAUGAGCCUAAUCAACCUGCUGCUGCUGAACACAAUCCUCUUGCUGAUGCUAAUCAACCUGCUGCCAGAAUUCGAAGACCACCAUACUGGAUGUAGGAUUAUGUCACAGGUACCACUGCUGCUCAUCAACCUGCUGAACACAAUCAACCUGCUGCUAAUGUCAUAGGUACCACUACUACUAAUCAACCUGCCAAACCCAAUCAACCUGCUGCUGCUGAUCAACCUGCUGCUGAUCAACCUGCUGCAAGAAUUCGAAGAACACCAUACUGGAUGCAGGAUUAUGACACAGGUGUAAAUUUUUCUGAAGAAGAAGAAACUCAAAACAUGGUAUUUUAUACCACUGCUGGAGAUCCAUACACCUAUGAAGAAGCCUCAAAAAGUCAUAAAUGGAGGAGCCAUGGAUACUGAAAUUUCAGCAAUAAAGAGGAAUGGUACAUGGGACUUAACUGUGCUUCCGAAGCAUGCAAGGAAGAUUGGUGUAAAAUGGAUUUACAAGACAAAGCUCAAUGAAAAGGGGGAAGUGGACAAAUACAAAGCAAGACUUGUAGCAAAGGGGUAUGCACAACAACAUGGAAUUGACUACACUGAAGUGUUUGCACCAGUAGCACUAUGGGAUACAAUCCGAAUGGUUCUCGCCAUAGCAGCACAGAGAGAUUGGACAGUGUAUCAGCUGGAUGUAAAGAGUGCAUUCCUCUAUGGAGAAUUAGAUGAAGAUGUGUAUGUAGAGCAACCCCUAGGCUAUGAGAAGAAGGGAGAGGAAUUCAAAGUUUACAAAUUAAAGAAAGCAUUAUACGGAUUGAAGCAGGCACCGAGAGCCUGGUUUAGUAGAAUUGAAUCAUAUUUUCUGAAGGAAGGGUUUGUUCGAUGUCCAAGUGAGCAUACUCUAUUUGUAAAAACUCAUCAAGAAUGUCAAGGAGAAGGAAAGAUUCUGGUGGUAAGCUUGUAUGUGGAUGAUCUGGUAUUCACUGGAAAUGACGAGGAAAUGUUUGCAGAUUUUAAAGCUUCAAUGCAACGGGAAUUUGCUAUGACAGAUUUAGGUAAAAUGAAGUUCUUUCUUGGAGUAGAAGUUGUGCAAAACGAUGAAGGAAUUUUCUUGAGUCAAAAGAAAUAUGCAUUGGAGAUCUUGGAGAGGUUUGGCUUGGAGAAUGCAAAUUCUGUUCGUAAUCCAAUAGUACCAGGUGUUAAACUGAUGAAGAAUGAAGAUGAACAACAGGUGCAUAUGAUUCAAUAUAAAUAGAUGGUCAAUAGCCUUAUGUAUCUAUCAGUCACAAGGCCAGACCUUAUGUUUGUAGUGAGUUUAGUGAGUAGAUAUAUGGAGCGACCAACAAAUAUACACAUGCAGGCUAUCAAAAGAAUUUUGAGGUAUGUAAAGGGCACAGUGGACUUGGGAAUUUGCUACAAACGGGGAGCUGCAACUAAUGAAAUGUUGGUGGCCUUUUCUGAUAGUGACUAUGCCGGCGAUCAAGAUGAUCGAAGGAGCACUUCUGGAUAUGUGUUUAUAUUCAGUGGGGGAGCAGUUGCAUGGAGUUCUAAGAAACAGCCAGUGGUUUCUCUUUCAACAACUGAGACAUAAUUCAUAUCUGCAGCUCAUUGUGCUUGCCAGGUAGUGUGGAUGAGAAGAGUGCUUGAAAGAUUGAAUUGCAAACAAGUUACACCUACUGUCAUUUACUGUGAUAACAUGUCUAUAAUUAAACUAGCAAAAAAUCCAGUUAUGCAUGACAGAAGUAAGCAUAUAGAUGUCAGGUUUCACUUUCUGCGUGAGCUGUGCAAAGAAGGUGUUAUUGAGUUGAAGCACUGCAAUACAAGAGAUCAAGUUGCUGACAUCAUGACAAAAGCAUUGAAGAUGGAUACAUUUGAGAAGCUGAGAAAUUUGAUGGGCAUAUGUGUGGUCUGAAAUGAAUAAACCGUUACUUUUAUUACUGCUGCUAAACUGCUUGCUGGAAAACAAUGCAGUUUAAGGGAGGAUUUGUUGCAACUAAGUCAGUUAAUAAAUGUCCUAGUCUUUAGGAUUAAGAGAUAAGAUUUGAUUUAUUCCUUGUUUACUAAACCAUGUUUGUAGGAGUGCUAAACGUGGGUUGCAUAUUUUUCUAUUUUCUGUUGUAAUAGCUGAUAUAUAUAUAUCAGCUUUGUUUCAUUGAAUAAACGUACUUUCCAUUCUCUUCAUUUGUGUGUUUAAAGGAUUCUGACUUCAACAAUACUUUCUUGUGGAUGCUCUAUCGUUGCUAAAUUAAAACAUCUUUUUUUUUUUAUCUACAUCUAUGUGAAACUUUUUUAAAAUAAAAAUAUUUAAAAAGAUAAUGUUAAUAAAAAACAUUGUUAUUUUAGUUUUUUUUCUUUUAAUAAAUACCAUCAUAAUAUGAUGUGGUUUUGUUUUUUACUCAGGUUAUUCAGUUAAUAUGUGAGUCAACUAGUAAACUAAACUUUGGAAUACUUUUCGUAAGCUUCCUAUUUAUUCUUAGUAAUCGAAAUAUUUUUGUAUUUUUAAUAUUAAUAUAUUAAAAAAUAUUUAUUUAAUAUUUAUUUUAAAAUAACCAGAUUUUUUAAUAAACAUAAUUCUGAUUACAAAAACAAAUCAUGUUUAGAUUGCGGGCAUAAGCAUAACAAUCUUGACAGUACCGUUGUUGUUUGGACUUUGAGAAUGAUAAAACAAAAGAGUUAGAAUAAAUUUAAAAUAAAAAAAUUAAUUUUUAAAAAAUAUUUUUAAAAUACAAAAACAAACUAAUAAUAAAAUAGAUUUUUAUACACUUGUAAAAAUCCCAGGAACGCAACAAUCAGGCAUUAGCUUCAAGCAACCAGAGGGAGCUUCACUGCAGUAGAAAACUUCAACAUAGCUUGAUUUGCUAUCCAAUCUGCACACCAGUUGGAUAGCAAUUUCUUUUCAUAACAUUUACCUUUGUAAAAACUUUCUACUUAUUUUUAGUUUUAAUAUCAAAUUCAGUCUUGAAUAUUGAACAUUCAAAAAUUCACUUAUUUUUAAUCAAUUAAAUUGAACAAAAUCUUGUUAAGUCAAACAUCAACUCUACAUUGAAUUGUUUUUUCUUCUUAGACCACAAGAGCUCCAUAACAAGUUUAUUGAAAUAAAUUAUCAAAUGAAAUUUUAAAAAAAUGCUUUAUAAAAAAAAAAAAACAGAGAGACAUCUACCUUGUUUUCUCUAUUGGUACAUGGUAAGAGUCUGAGCAUAUUUAUUUAUUUUUAUUUUUAUUUUUAUUUUAAUAAUAGUCCUGUUUUUUCUACCGUCAAGAAAUCAAGAACGAUUCUAAAGUCUAUAUUUAGAUAAUUUCGGUUGAUUGAAGCCACCAGGUUGAUUGAAGCCACCAGGUUGAUUGAAGCCACCAUGUUGUGAAGUGGUUGUGUUCGGUGUCAUAUAGCCAUGUCCCGGCUGAGGUUGAUGAAUAAAGGAAUUAUGAUGCCUUGAUGGAGUUUGAGGCCAAUUUUAUAUAAAACUUAAUGAUAAAAAAAUAUCAUAAAAAAUGUCUAAAUCUCCCAAUUGUUGUCUGUUUGUUUAACAGUAAACAAUUUGAAGAUGCUCGAGAUCGAUACACUAAACAUAAAACUUUUUGUAUAAUACAAACACUUGCUAAUUCAUUGGACAUUGUAGCGAAUUGGAGCACUCACCAUUGUUUCAGGAAAGGACGUUGGAAACGGAGUUGUUUGUUGAAUACUAUUGUUGAUCACAUUGUUCUGUCCACCUUGAUCAUUGCAUGAUAUGGAGCUUUGGUUGACUGGAACCUCCGGUGGCGGCCAGCUUCCAUGGACAGUGACGACAUUAUAUUGUUUUUUGCGAGUAAUAGGAUAAACUGAAGAAUAACUAAACUGCAAGCAAUCGUCUUCUGAUAAAAUAUGCUUAAGAAUGACGUACGAGUGAAACUCAAGCUCAGACAGUAGUGAUUCAAAGUUGUCAACCUCCUCCAUAAAAGAUGGUUGGAACCCUUCCAUCUGACCAGAAAAGAUCAGAAAUUAAAGACAAAAAACUGAGGUCUAAAAAGAACAGAAAGCACUAAUCAGAAAAGAAUAUAUAUAUAUAUAUAUAUAUAUAUAUAUAUAUGACUUUCUUGUUGGUUAAAGAAAUUCGGAUGAAAAAUAUGAAAUAUAAAUGUUGUUGUUAAUGAUUUAAUCCUUUGUCUUGUAAGAUAAAUUAUCAUACUCAAAUUCAGUAUUGAUUUAGUAUGAACUCUCUCCACAAGGCAUGGAUUAUAAAAUCCGAGAAAAAGAUCAAUUUAUUUAUCAUGGAUUCCUUUCAAGAUUCAAACCAUACUUACAUAAUAAUUUACCAACAAGAUUCAAGUGCUGGUUUGCUUGAGCAGUGAUCAGCCAAAAGAAAAGGAAGAGAAAUCACAGAUCACAGAAGAAUAUAUGGUUUAGAAAAAUAAUAAAGUUGCAGCAUACAUAAAUCUAGUUCGCUCUGAUCAUGAGAUGUGGAAAGGAAAAUAGGGAAUUCUAUAAUGAGAUGAGAUGUGGAAGAGAAUGUUACAGCAGCAAUAAUAAUACUAUUUUUUAGAAAAGUCAGCUCAAUAAUAAUAAUUAAUUAACGUAUUGCUUGAUAGGAAGGAAGUUACCAGGAAGCAACCCAAACAUUACAUUAUAAGAUAUAGAAAGUUAACGUGUGGACCAUGUUCAGACUUCGAAGAACCUGCCAAGAAAAUGUAAACACAUGAAAAUGAGAAAGAAGCAUGCCCCAUCUCGUGAAGUUCUACGUGUACGUAUUUAACUUUACAAUAUUCUUUGCUGUGAAAAUAUAUCAUAUAUAGUAAAUAAUAUAAGUGCUUAUACAUCUUCUUUUCUUUUCUUUUUUUAACUUUAAACAGAGAGGUGGCUGCCCCAAUACAUUCAGCCUGCCGACUCUUAUUUUUUUGGGAGUAUUAAUUCCGUGAUGGAAUUGGAGGUACUGCUUUCUUCAUCUGUUAUUCCUGUUAUCUCCUCCAUUAUCUCACAAUCACUAGCAUCAAUCAUUUUCAGGUUUACGAGGUUUGACAGCAACACAAGUGGGAACAGCUUCUUCAUACUCUUACAUCCAUAACAAUAAAACUUUUUAAGACCAGAAAACAUACCAUUAUAUGAUGGCAAUGGUGAGAUGGAGCAUUGCAGAACCAAGAAGAUGAAACCAAGCUCUACAUGCUAUUGCAAUCCCAAAUGUUGAUGUCCUCUAGUUCAGUUGCAUUCUCUAAUGACAAAACAUCACAUAAACUUCUUGGAUCGAUGCAUUCACAAACCAGUUCUUGAAUGCCAUUUAAGUACUUGACUUGAAAAUCUCUCUAUGUUGAUACUCAAAUGACCCAACGCAACUAUUUUACUUAAAAAAACUCAAUCCUACCUAAUUUAUUUAAAAAAAAAUUAGGAAAAUUAAGAUUUUUUUUUUUAAUGAUAUGCCAUCUAUCUGCACUCCCUGCUAACUCUUCGCUUCAUAUCUUAAGUUAUAUCUAUCAAGUUAGAUUUAUCAAGUUUGCUUAAUUAAGACGGAAUAUUUAUGACUUUUACAUGUAUUAAGUUAAUAUAAUUGUACAUGGCAUGCACUUUAAAGCUCCGAACAUCAGUCAAUGAUUUAAUAGAGAAUAAAAUUUAAUUUUAAAUGCAAAUUAUAGGAUUUGUUGGUGCUGGUUUUAUUAAAUCAAUAUUAUAGUAAAACAAUUAAAUCAAUACAGAUAAAUAAAUGAUCCAAAUAUAAUAAAGAAUUAAUCCAUUUAAUAGAGAAAACAUGACUGAAUCCACAAACUACAUAAAUCCCUUUUUCUUUCUUCCCCCUUUUAUUCUCUAGUGCAACUCCCACGCGUCUUCUUUAUGCCAAAUGCCCCUCUUUUCAAAUUAGGCAUCUUCAACCUCCUUUUUCAUCACUCUCCAUGAUCUGUCAAAAACAAAUUGCUUAGAUUUUAGGAUUUUUUUUUGGCAGCCACGUACAUGCUUUAGGAGUUCCUUUUUUGAAAUCCUCACUAGAGGCUAAUAUCUAGCCCUUCAAGAUACCUUUACAACGCGUCAAGAAUCACAGCAAUCCUGUGAGUGGAAAGUUAUGAUUAAAAAAAAACUAAAAGGGAUCAGACAAUCACUGUAGAUUGUGUCUAAAAUCACUAUGGAUUGCACUGUUUACAUUUAAAAUUCAUUGUCGCCGCAAGUGCCAAUUUUGUUUCACUGUUUUUUCAUUUAUUUCGUGGGGCACGUGGAAAGCUUUUCAUCUCUUUGUUUUUUCUGAUACAAACACAGAGAACGCCUCCCAAACUCAAAUAACACAUUCACAAUUCCAGAUCUAUCUCUUCCCUGAUCUGUUUUAGUUUUUUUUUAAUUAAAAAAAAAUGCUAAAAGGGCUUAAGGAAACAUUGUGCCCACUGUGUGUAAUUACUGUGGGCUGGAGCUUAGUGUCUUCUCGCGCUAAGUUGGAAUUCAUGGAGGGAAGAUCGUCUUGGUUUCACUCCAAGAUCUCAGUUUGCAUUUGAGUUCUCAUCAGGAGGUCUGGGCGGAGCUUGCGUUUCGUUCACUCAGAAAGAAUGGGAUCCGGAUCUGUAAGUGAUUUUCUUCCUUGCUUUUGUUUGGAUGUGAGGUUUUCGGUGGGUUAAUUGGAAGCAAUGCUUGGCAGCUGGGAGCAGUGAAGUCAAGGUGGGAAGAAAGGUAUUAAGGUGUGGGUGUAGUCAGGUGGACACAUGAUAAGGUGUGAGCAUAGCUUUCAUUAGCUCUCCAUUUGAUGGAGUCCUACUAUUGAUUGAUUAUCUGAUUGAUGGUCGAGAUAUGGACAUAUUGUUUGUUCUGCUAAGAUCAAGAGAUCUAGAAAACAAUAGGCUUCGUUCGUUAAAGCGCGGGGCUCCUGGCUAACAAACGCCCACUAAAUGUCAUUUUGAUUACCAAGCGCGUGUAACUGGUAAUAUACUGGAUUUAUUCGUGAAUGACAUAUUGUAUUUUAAAUUGUUACUGAAAUAUAUUAAAAUAAUUUUAUUUUUUAAAAUUUAUUUUUAAUAUCAUCUUAAAAUAAUCAAAUGAUAUAAAAAAAAUAUAUAAUUUUUUUAAAAAAAAAACACAGUUAAAUCGCAUGCAUGACCAUUAUAGCAUGACAUCUUGCCAUUAUUAUUAUAGAAAAUUAUUAUAACAAAAUCUAAAAGGCAUGUGGGAUUUAUUUUGCAAAUCACAUUGUGUAUUAUCUAUUCAUAUGUAUUAGUUAUUUACGAUGUUUUUUAUUCCAAGGCUUUUUUAAAAACAAUUUGCCCUUUUUAGACUAAAUAGAAUGCCAGUUUAAAUAAAACCAUCAAGGUAGUAUAAAAUUAAAAAAAAAAGUGAAAAAAAAGAAGAAGAAAUUAGAUGGAGGAUUUGAAGUUUGCGGAAAAAAUAAAUUGGUUCUUUUUACUGUUUCAAUUAAGCAUUUUUUAUUAUAUCUUUAUGUUUUUUUUUUAGCAGGUUACAGGUAAAACUUUUUAUCGCUUUGUUUUUUCUGGUACAAACACAGAGAACGCCUCCCAAACAAAUCAAAUAACAUAUUCACAAUUCCAGAUCUAUCUCUUCCCUGAUCUGUUUUAAUUUUUUUUUAAUUAAAAAAAAUGCUAAAAGGGCUUAAGGAAACAUUGUGCCCACUGUGUGUAAUUACUAUGGGCUGGAGCUUAGUGUUUUCUCGCACUAAGUUGGAAUUCAUGGAGGGAAGAUCGUCUUGGUUUCACUUCAAGAUCUCAGUUUGCAUUUGAGUUCUCAUCAGGAGGUCUGGGCGGAGCUUGCGUUUCGUUCACUAAAAAAGAAUGGAAUCCAAAUCCGUAAGUUAUUUUCUUCCUUACCUUAUAGCGCUUUGUCUGAUGGGGAAUUUUAGCUCCUCCUUUUUCUUGCUUCUUGGGUCCUCACGGGCAGAUUUUAUAAUUGCAUAAUAUAGAUCCCAAAAGGAAAGACCAGGAAAUGAAGAGUGAACGACGACUUGGAUUUCAUGAUGGCUUAGGCUAAAAGGUAGAGGGACUUUAUUUUGCAGAGACGUCGCCGCCACCAUAAAAUAUGGCUUGAUUUUAGGAGUCCUUUCUUCUGGGUUGUGUGUGUUCUCAGUAUGCUACAUUAAAUGCAACGCCCACUUGGUUAGAUUUGAUUGAGAGAGCAGGUGAGUUUAUUUGUGAUUAGUAAUUUGGUCAGAUUUUGUAUAUUAUUGCAGUGAUUGACUGACCAGUUUUGGUUUUUUUUUAAAUUAAUUUAAUUUUUAGUUUGCUUUUUUGCAAAAUAUCACUUGACAAUGAAGCUUUGUUUGUUAGGUGGCUUGGCAUGGAUUAAAAGUCUUUUUGUGGUUCUUAUUUAUAUGUCUGCUUGCAUUUCUCUAUGCUGGUAUGUUUUUUUUCCAAGAAUUAAGGUGUUGACAUGCAUUUGGAUGUCUCAGUUGAGAUGGUUGAGAGUGUGUUGGUUCAGCAUGCUGAUGAAAGGAGAAGAAAGGUAUGGUUUUAAGCUGUUUCAGCUGACAGGCAUUUAAUGCAUGUCAAGGUUGGCAUGUUGCUGCCAUUGUGAUGUGCAGUGUUUUUCUUGAGUGGGAAAUGUGGAGACAAAGUGAGGGGGUUGAUUUGUUAGUUUGAUUCUGACUUGGGUAGGUGAUGGGUUGUCCUAUUGGAAUAUUUUUUAAGAAAUCUAUUUCAUAUCUGGUUAUUUUUUCUUGAGCGGGAAAUGUGGAGACAAGGUGGAGGGGCUGAUUUGUUAGUUUAGUUCUGACUUGGGUAGGUGGUGGGUUGUCCUGUUGGAAUAUUUUUUAAGGACUCUAUUUCAUAUCUGGUCAGAUUAGUAACCUUCCUUUUUCAUCAUCGGAUUUUAAGAAAAGCAUAGAACACUGACAAAAAAAUUACAAUUCCAAAAGGGGAUGAAGUUAGAGAUUGAGUAUUUGUGUAUAUUUCUACAACAAAUGUUAGUAAAGAAUAGAUGAUACAGCUGGUUUUGACUUUAGAAGGUCUUCUGCUACUAUAGACAUUGUGUUUUGCAACAAUUACACUAGACACGCAGACAGUGGGCUCCCCUUCUUGGCAGGAUGAACCGGGUACCAUGUUCUGAUAGCAGGAUCACAACCCGUGUUAUACUAUGACAAAGGUUAGUUUUUUAAGAUUAUUCUAUGCUUUUUCUCAACUUUAGUUUCAAAUCAAUUUGGGUUGCAAGUUAUGAACUUUGUGCUGAGAGGUUUGCUUAGACAUGUCAAUGCUUUUUUCCAACUUUUUCCUUUCAUGUGAAAGCCAGAUCUCUUCAUUGUUUCUUAACUGUAUUUUUAAGAUUUUGCUCCUUUUAGUUGUCUUUAAUUUUUUUUUGUUUUGUUGAGUGAUUAUUUGUAGCAUUGUUUGUUGCCUUUUUUGUUAUUAGUAAUAUACCAAUUCUUAUGCCCAAGUAAUAUUUGACUAUAAACAUUCAGCAAAUCAAAUUUAAUAGCAUUAGCCCACAAGGACACUCCAAGCACAAAAUUACCUUAGCCAAAACAGCAAAAGACAACUGGAAUAGACCAUUUUGAAGCACGAACUGAUCUUUCGGCCAAAAACUUAUUGCGUCUGGAUUUUAAUUCCUCUGCUUCUAGAUUUUCAGAUUCAUUAGCAAGUAAGGAAAAUACAGAAUCAGUGGCAGGGGCAGUCUUCGGCAUUGAUGAAGUGCGUGCUUAACUUCUAUGAAUCUUUUUUCAAUGGAUAAAUGAAGUCCAGGUAGAUUAACUGGUGUUGUUCUCUCUCCUGCACUUUGCCUUCCAGAACAGUUUGUGUUUGGCUAAAAGCAGAUAACUAUGCACAAUUUGAUUUCUAUGGCUUAGACAAUUCAGGAAAACGAAAGACAUGGUUUUGUAACACUAUGUUAUUUGCAAUCUAUAUUUGGGCUAGAAAAAACAGAGCCUAAUCUUCUAGAACAUUUAACACUGUUUGGCCAUGGAAGCCUACAGAGUUUGACAAUUGUGCUGCACGCUUUAGGGAAUUAAAAAAAAAGCAGCAGAAUGGAAAGACCAUGGAAUUUUCAUAGUGUUAGCAAAAAACCUCUGUAUAUCUUCACUACCUCUUUUUUUUAAACGCCUUUUCAUAACCUGGACUAGAAGUCUAGCACAUAAAAAAAGAUUUUCAAUCAACAACACAAGAGAUUUAGGGUAAGUGUUUUUUGUUCCAUCUUGCUUUAAUGAGAUUCUAUCAUCUACUGUCCAAUACCCGCACGGCCAGCCAGCCUGACUCAUCAUAGUUCAUUCAUUCAUAUAUGAUUAAUUAUGUAUGGGGCCAGUAUUAUUUAAUUUCUUCUUUAUUUUCUCAUCACAGCUCUGCGUUUUCUUCUCUAUACCCAUUUUGAUUUACAAAUAUUUCAAAGGGAAUUUUUUAUUUGUCUCACAAAUUGAAACUGUUCUUGCGUUCUGGCAAGAUUUCCCUUGAAAGAUAUGGAUCAAGGCUCCUGAAAAUGUCUUAUAGCAUUGUUACUGUUACUAUUCUAUAAAUGUCGGUGUCCAAAAAUCACAAAUAAAUACAAAAGUGAGCAUAAAUGUUUUUAUUUGACAUAACAACUGCAAGUCAUGCUAAACAAAUAUAUAUUAACUUGCAUAACAUAUAGGAAAACAAUCAUGUAUGCAUACUAAAUAUGUAUAGAAAUUAUAUUUAAAUAAAGGUAUUUAGGAUGCUUUUUAUUAAUUUAGAGUAUUAUCAGUUUUAAAUCAUCUUGAGAUAUCUUUAUUUGCAUGCAAUUUGUAAGACUUUUUUAAAAUUUUCAGAAAAAGAUAUUAGCUACUAAGUAAAUCAUUGUUCUGGAAAUUCAAUGCAUUUGAAACUUGAAAUGUUUGCUUUCAUGGUUUUGGUAUAAAUUAACUACAAUUUUCAAACUGAAUUCCACGUAAAGCUGGAGAAUUAAGAUUUUUUUUUUCUUGAUUAGGUUAGUGCCCACGUAGAGGAAUUGCUUGAGUCGUUGACUGACCUCUUCUCAGUCCAAAUACAUAAUAAUGAACCUGUCUAGACUGUAGUUAUUAAUUAGUACUAUCUUUUUUCAUUAAGCAUUAAACAAGUAUGUUGUAUCACUUUGUGUUCAAUUCUCUCUAUGUGAGCAAGGCAGUGGAAGUAGGGAACAACUUUGUUGUUCACCAAGCUGAUCAAGUCAUGGCUGAAAAAGCCAAAACCUUGCAAGAUCGCAUUGUAAUCUCUCUUAACAUUGAUUUUUAAUUGUAAUUAGGGUUUUUGACUUGGCUGGAUACAUUUGAUUCUAUCAUAGUUUUUUUAAUUAGUUUAUUUGUUCCGUAAAAUGAAUAGAUUAGUUGUUUAAUUUUCAAUUGGUCUUGAUGCUUUAUUCCUUAAUUUCUUCCCUCCGAUUUUGUGUGCAGUCAAGAGAACUAGCUAUGCUUGCAAUUUCAGUUCUCGCUGUCAUUUUCUUAGACAAUUUGUGUUACCAAAAAGCUUUGGUUGAGACAGGCAACUUCUUAACUACACCAUCUUCACUUUUGUCUUUUCUACUUUGAAUAAUUUUGUCACUCAAUGGAAGGCUGGUUGAAUUUUAAUAACUUGAGUUUGGGGUGUUGUUUUGCUUUGCUGGAAAAUAUAUGAUUGAUGAUGUGUAUUUUUUAAAAAGGUGUUGCUUGAACUCAUGCUUAGUAAUAUGUGUUCUUUUUAAAAAAAAUAAUUGAACUCAUGUUAAUGGUUAUUUAAAGAGAUACAUGCUGAAAUGAAAGAUACUUAAGAAUAAAAAAUAAUAAUAUGUUGACGAUUUUUCCGUUUGCUUCUAUGCUUCAAAACGAAGAAUUAAAUUGGUUUUUGGUUUGGCAUUGUAAUUUAAGGUGUUGUAUGUUGAAUUAAGAAUUUUUAAAUAUUACUUUGUCCAUACAAUUUUUUUUAUAUAUAUUUCGGGUCCAUGUUUUUUAUAGUUGAGAGUUUUUUGCUUUAUUCCAUGUGGUCUUUUUAAUUGGCAAGGGCUAUCAUGUGGCAUUGUUUUUUUUUUUUUUUCCAUUUCAGUAACUACAGCUCCCCUUAUUGUUUUCAUUUGCUUAUGUGGUUUUGUUUGUUUUUUUUUCCUUUUCCUGUCAUCUUAUAUGUAUGCCUUUGAAUGGGUUCCAUUUUUUUUUUCCAGUUUACUAGGUAAUGUGUGAGUUGUAUUGUGUUCUCUCAUUCCUUUGUAACAUGAUCAACAUAAUGCAUACAUUAUCUAAUAACAUUUUUCUCCUGCACUAUGUUCCCACAAAGCCUUAGGUGGCUUCAUUGUUGUUAAGCUUCACGUGUUUUGUUCCCUUUAAAAAAAAAUGUUAUUUAAGAUGAGGCAUUUGAAGUUGAUUGGUGCUUCAGAUAUGAGAAAAACAAUUUGUUUGUGGUUUUUUUCCAUCUGGAUUUUAGGUGCUAAUUUGGCUGAUUAGUGGAUUUAUGCAUAUGAAAAUGUUUAAUUUACAGGUUGUUUUAUUUUGUGUGGAUCUUCUUAGAAUGUUUAAUUGUGUAGGCUAUUGAUCUUGCUAUCCACUUUCAAGGAAUAUUUCACAAGGUAUUUUCAUGCCUCUUUUUUUUUUAUUAAACAGUGUUCUGGUUCUUAGUUGUUUCAUUCUUUCUUACAAGCUAUUUUCUACUAAAUUUUUUAGAAUAUGUUUGUUGUUGUUGAAAGAGCUUAAGUUAAGUUAAUCAAUGCUUAUUCUUUGUUUGCAUGAUAGCUUGAGAUUAGGGUGUUGUUUUGCUCUGUUGGAAAAUAUAUGCUUGCUGAUAUGUGUGUUUUUUUAAAAAAAAAAGGUCUUGCUUGAACUCAUGCUUAGUGAUAUGUGUUUAAAAAAAGAGUUGAUUGAACUCAUGUUAGAGGUUAUUUAAAGAGAUGCAUUCCGAAAUGAAAUAUGCUUAAGAAUAAAAAAUAAUAAUAUAUUGCAGAUUUUUCCAUUUGGGUGUUAAUUUCUAGCUUAACUGAUGAAAUAAUUUAGGCAAUCAAUUUUAUUACUUCUAUGCUUCAAAAUGAAGAAUUAAAUUGUUUAUUGAUUUGACAUGGUAAUUUAAGGUGUUGUAUGUUGAAUUAAGAAUUUUUGACAAGUUGUUUUAUAUUUCGUUGGCCUAUGAAUUAAAUUAUAUAUAGUUAGCAAUUAAAUUACGACUUUAAAUUUCAGUGUGUAUGAUUUCUGCCUGAAAUGGUUUAAAACUUUACGCUUAGCCAUUAUUGUUUUAUUGGGUUCUAUUUUCUCUCCACAAAUAUACAUUGCUCAUUUCAAGACCUUUCAAUUCAAUUACAUAUGAUUGCUGGCUACUUUUUUUUUCAACAAAACUUGCAUAGAGAAAAUUCUGUUUCUGAGAAUGUAUUGUUAAUUGCCAUGACUUUAAUUAAUUUUGGUUGCAUGUAAUUGUAAUGUGUGAGUUGUAUUGUGUUAUCUCAUUCCUUUGUAGCAUGAUCAGCAUAAUACAUACGUUAUCUAAUAACAUUUCUUUGCUGCACUAUGUUCACACAAAGCCUUGGGUUACUUCAUUGUUGUUAAACUUCACGUUGUUUUGUUCCCUUUUAAAAAAAUUGUUAUUUGAGAUGAGGCAUUUGAAGUUGACUGGUGCUUCGGAUAUGAGAAAAACAAUUUGUUUGUGGUUUUUUUCCAUCUUGAUUUUGGGUGCUAAUUUGGGUGAUUAGUGGAUUUAUGCAUUUGAAAAUGUUUGUUUUACAGGUUGCUUUAUUUUGUGUGGACCUUCUCAGAAUGUUUAAUGGUGUAGGCUAUUGAUUUUGCUAUCCACUUUCAAGGAAUGUUUCACAAGGUAUUUUCAUGCCUCUUUUUUUUAUUAAACAGUGUUCUGGUUCUUAAUUGUUUCAUUCUUUCUUACAAGCUAUUUCUACUAAAUUUUUUAGAAUAUCUUCGUUGUUGUUGAAAGAGCUUAAGUUAAAUUAAUCAAUGCUUAUUCUUUGUUUGCAUGAUAGCUUGAGAUUAGGUGUUGUUUUGCUCUGGUCGAAAAUAUAUGCUUGCUGAUAUGUGUUCUUUUUUUAAAAGGUGUUGCUUGAACUCAUGCUUAGUGAUAUAUGUUUUAAAAAAGAGUUGGUUGAACUCAUGUUAGAGGUUAUUUAAAGAGAUGCAUUCCGAAAUGAAAUAUGCUUAAGAAUAAGAAAUAACAGUAUGUUGAAGAUUUUUCCAUUUGGAUGUUAAUUGUUAGGUUAGCUAAUGAAAUAAUGCAGGCAUCAAUGUUAUUUCUUUUAUGCUUGAAAACAUAAAAUUAAAUUGUUUAUUGGUUUGACAUGGUCAUUUAAAGUGCUACCGUUGAAUAAAGAAUUUUUAACAUGUUUUAUUUUUCCUUGGCCUUUAAAUUAAAUUAUAUGUAAUUAGCAAUUAAAUUAUCACUUUAAAUUUCAGUGCAUAUAAUUUGGGCCUAAAAUGGUUUAAAGCUUUGUGCUUAACCAUUAUUGUUUUAUUGGGUUUUAUUUCGCAACAAUAUACAUUGCCAUAUCAAGAUUUUUCAAUUCAAUUACAUUGAUUGCUGGCUAUUUGUUUCCAACAACACUUGCAUAAAAAAUUCUCUUUCUGAAAUUAUGUUGUUAAUUGCCAUUACUUUAGUUAAUUUCAGUUGCAUGUAAUUGGUGAUUGAAUUGUCGCUGCUUUGAAGUGGAUGCAUAUAAUUAGUGGUUGAAUUGGUUUACAACAAGAUUUUGGUGGAAAAUAGAAUAGUUCAUUUGGUAUCACCUUUGUUUGUUGCAACAAAUUCUACUCACUUUCUUUAUUGUUGCAUUUGCUUCUUUUCAUUACAACAACUAUUAUUUUUGCAGCAGAUUAAACAUAUUUUUCAUAAUUUUUUUCUUUUGAUUUUCAUAAUCACACAUUUUUUUAUUAUUGUUGUUGUCCAUCUUUAAAGAUCAAAUUUCCUUGCUAACUUUCUAUUUUUCACCAUAUGUUACAGGCAUGUUAUUUCAAUAGCUGUUGAACUAUCUCCAGGUUGCAGGAAGCUGAAACACCACCUUUUUCCUGUCUCACUCAAGCUAUAGGUACACCUUUAUUUUCAAACUUGACCUGUUUUUUGCUUGCAACUUUGUCACUGUAUUUUUCUUUUCCACUAUAUGCUUGCUUUUUUAUGGAUUAAUUUGGAUUUUUAUAUAUGUUCAUGUUUCCAUUAUUACAUAAUUAACUUUUUUGGUGAAUUUUUUAAUCUUAUUCUUUCAUUAAAUAGUUUUCUUUUAAUUGUUUUCCAUUGAAAUUUUUGAUUUUUACCAUAUUAUUAAAAUUGCCUUGAUUGGAAAAUUAGAAACCAUUUGAUUUAGUUUUAGUUAGAUUUUGAGUUAGAUUGUAUUUAAGUGGAAGUUGAAUUAUCGCUUUGGAUUUGAUUUCAUAUAAUAUGGUUGAAAUCAUUGACAACAUUAUGCUUGGCCGUUAUUUUGUUUUGUUCUUUUUCUCCACAACAAUAUACAUUGCACAUGUCAAGGCUUUUCAAUUCAAUUACAUAUGAUGACCUGCUAAUUUUUUUUGAACAAUGCUUGCAUGAAGAAAAUUUUCUUUGUUAUAAUUAUGUUGUUAAUUCCCAAGAUUUUAAUUUGAGUGUAAUUGGUGGCUGAAUUAAUGCUUUUAGUUGCAUUGCAUAUAAUUAAUGACUAAAUUGGUUUACAACAAGAAUUUGGUGAGAAAAAGUUUGUUCAUUUCGUAACAGCUCUAUUUAUUAGAACAAUUUCCACUCAUUUUCUUUAUUUUGUUGCAUUUCCUUCUUUCUAUUGGAACAACUCUAAAUUUUGCGGCAUAAUGAACACGUUUUACGCUUUGAAUUGAAUUGCAUAUAAUUUGUGGCUUAAUUGGUACUAUUUUUUUUUAUUAAUCAUUUGCAGGACAAUGGCUCUACCUAUAAAGAGAUUAAAAAAUACAACUUCUACCCUUCAUUACGAGCUAGGGCCUGUCGAGUUUGGAUUGCUAAAUUUAAUGGUCAGCCAAGCAGUUUUAAUUGUGUUUUUGUUGACAAUCAGGUAUAAUUUAUCAUGAAAAUAUAACCACUAAUGAAUCUUAUUUUCUAUAUAUUUAAAUGUUUGAAUAAUGCAUGUCCAACUCAUUUCUGAAUAUUUUCUUUACUUUGGCAAUUUAACAUUUUUUUUACUUAACCAGGGUACUUAUUUGCUCUUAAGAUUCCCUAUGGAAAACCAAGUUUCCUUUCCUUUUUAAUUCAUUACUAUAGAACUAUAGUUAAGUUCACUACUAAACCACAAUUGCUUAUUCAACUUAUGGAAAAAACUUUUCAAUAUUGAAAUUGUUAAGAAAAACUAACAUGAUCAAUUUUUAGCAUCCAUUUAUGAUUUACAAUCAACUUUGUUUUCUACAUGCUUAAAAAACCAGACAAUCCCAAGCAUUGCAUUUGCUUUAUAUAAUCCAUAGAAAAUUUCAUACAGGUCAAGCAAAUUUCAUUUUUCUAUUACUUGACAUGAUUUAUAUAAGAGUUUGAGAAAUUUUACGAUGCAUCACUGCUAACUACCAAUUACCAUGAAAAUCUCAGUUACAAUUCCAUACUAGAGCCACGGUUUACCAGGUAUAUUACAUCCAAUUAUAAACAACAUUGAGAAGCAACCAACAAGUAUAUUUAUCUUUUAUUCUAUACAUCUUUUAUAUGCAGCUUUCAUUUAUACAAUGGUCUACUAAUUAAUUAUUAUAUAUGUGCAUCCUGCUAGAAAUAAUGUUUCACCUUCACCUCAAGACAUGUUUGUUGACUUAGAAAAUCUUGCUUCAAAUUCAUAGACUUUAUACGUAACAACCAAUUUAAACAUUUUAAGAAAUAUUAAGACAUAAAAUCUCUUAAAUUCAUUAUUAAAACCAGUCUUUUAACUUAAUGUUCCAGUAGUACCAAUACCUCACUUCCAAUGUCAUCAAAAAUCUUCUUGAAAUAAUUUACAAAACCUUAUUACAUAUUGCAUUCAAAAUUCUAAACCUUAUUACAUAUUGCAUUAAAAACUCUAUUCCAUUUGGUUGUUGGCAUGGUGAACAAUUAUUUUUUUCAUUCCAACGUUAAUCUUUUUUUUAUAUAGGGUGGAGCUAUUCAAGCUGUAGCUAAAACAAGAGAUCUCCCAACAUUUGCAGCAACAGUUAUUGAAGGAAAUCACUAUGAAAUCAAAGGAUUUUAUACUUAUGAAAACAGAGCAGUAAACACAGUUGCUGCCCAUGAUGUUGUGAUUGAUCUCAAAUCUAACACAAAGAUUACAGGCAUUGAAGCUAUUUCACCUUCUGUUCCUAGAUACUACUUUAAUUUUAUUGACUAUGCACAUAUUAUGACCAAGUCAAAAAGCUCCAGAAUUCUUACAGGUUUACCAUUUACUUCAUUCAUUUAGCCUAUUAUUAAACAUUUUUAUUAUUGAACUCAGCUUGAUAACAUCACUUAAAAGCAUUCAUUCCUGUUUUUUAAGAUGUCCUUGGAAGACUUAAAGCAUUGCAGCCACUUGAACAAGUUAUGGUUCGUGGACAGACGCUCGAAAAUAAGAGAGAAUUCAUGCUUGAGAACAUUCGGUGAGUUGAAAAAUUAAAUGCAAAUUACCUUACUUUUAUCAAGCUUAUUGAUCAAAUUUGUUUUGUAUUUUCUUUCAAAGUGGUGAGGAGCUUCGCAUAACUCUUUGGGGUGAUAGUGCUAGAGAUUUUGAUGGACUCGCUCUUCAUAACCUGCCAUCUCCGGUUAUCAUUGCGUUUGCUGGAUUUCGUGUCACGGAAUUUAAGGGUAAUUUUAACUUCUAUUUCUUUUUUUUCUAAAAAUUUUUUUUUUUUUAUUAUCAUUCUGAUCCAACUAAUUCUCCUUUCAUUUUAUUACAAAAACUCUUUUGUUCACAAGGAAAACCAAAUCUUAACAGUACAGCCGCCUCUCUUUGGUACUUCAAUCCAGACAUACCAGAAUGCUUGGCAUAUAAACAUUUGUAAGUUAUUCAACAUCAACCAUCUCUCUUAUGCUUUACCAUUAUCAAUUUUUUUCUAACUAAUUAUUUUUUCACCAUUUUUUAAUCGAUUGUACACGCAGCUUUGCACAACUACCCGUUGAAAUACAACAACUCCCUUCAUCAUCAAAUGUUGUUUUAUCGAUAGAGGAACAAAUCAAAUAGGAGAACAAUACAUGAGAUUCUUUGCAUGAAUCCUUAUGAGCACAAGGUUAUUUUUUAAACCCUUUUAUUAUUAGCUUUGAUAACAUACUUUACCUUCUUCAUAUAAUUAGUUUUUAAAUUUCAUUAACACACUUUGAAACAUGUAUUUCCUUUCCAUUACCAGCAUCUAAGAUUCACUGUCAAGCUUCGAUUGUUGACUUUGAUUUUCCCAAUGGCUGGUGGUAUCCAAGCUGUCCAAAAUGCAACAAAAACUUAGGGGGCGAAACAAUUACACAUGCAUGGAUCAUGAUGCUAUCACCUCUCUUCCAUUCCAUGGUAAGUCAUCUAAUUUCACAACUAAAGCAAUAUUAAGUUGUUAAAUAAAAAAAUCAUAUUCCUUGAUACAUUAUCAUGCACUUCUUAUUAAUGAACAUGUAUCAAUUUUAUAUUAUAGGUUUCGCUUAGAAUGCAUUGUUACCGAUGGAGAAGAUGUCACUAAUUUUCUUCUAUUUGGGAAAACUGCUGAGAACUUUUUUGGAUCAUCGGCCACCAUUAUGUCUAUGAUAAAAAAUUUAUUGAUCCCUCAGUUCUUCCUCCUGCCAUGGCAGCAAAGUUAAACAAAAGCAUGAUUUUUAGCUUCGAUUUGGUGCUUUCAGAUCCAUCACCAACAGAUGUGAGGUUAUCAUUACUAAUAUCUUUGACGACAAAUAAGAGCAUCCAUCCUCUAGAAACAGCAACUCCAGAAGCUAAAUCAUCUCCUACAUCCAAGACAUCUACUCCAUUAAGCUAUAUGAAACAGGUUCUCAAGCUCCAUCAACUCCACAAAUACUGUCACACAACUCAGGAUUGCUCCUGAUUCCUUGGAGACACCACCUCAGAACAUAUCACCAAACAAGGAAACAAGCAUAAACAGUGAAGCACGACGUGCACUUGAUUUUGAAGAUGCACAGCAGCUCAGGCAAGUUUACAUUUCCCCACACUUUCUUUACAUUUUUUUUCCUUAACACGUGCUAAAUUUGAUGGUUCUGCCUUGCAUCUCUUUAAUUCCUUUGGUUACAAUAGUCAUGAAGAUGAGCAUGACAAAGCAAUUGAAGUCCAAGGAAACCUGGGAAACAUAGCUACAUCUGAGACAUUUGAUCACUCACUUCCACCUUUGAAAAAACAACGGGCAACAUCCUCAUCAUCCUCGAAGGUUUGAUUUUUAACCUCACAUUCUUAUAAAUCAAUUUCCAAUUUGUCCAACAUGCCUUUUAUUUGUUAUUUAUUUUGUAAUUCUAUUUGUUUUUUAUUAUUUUACAUUUACCUAUUUCUCUUCACUUCACAGCCUAUAAUUCCUGAGUUCUUUUAUUCUUUACAUGCUAAUUAUACAUUGAAAACAAUUCUUAAAAGAGAAAAAAUCAUUCCCUGGAAAAUUUAUAUAUCAAUAUUAAUACUUUUCAUUAAAACCAAAGAAUUAGUAAAGGUAUGAAUUAUUAACAAUGAGAAGAAAACAUAAUUAUUAUGUGCACACAUAAAUACUUAGAUAAAGAAGAUCAUUACUUUAUAUAUGUGCAUAUGUUACUUAAACAAUUGCAAUAAUAUGGUUACUUUCUUGGUGAAUGCUGUAAAUUAAAGUCAUUCCAGAGGUUGGGGAACCAUGACACCAAUUCCUGAUACAUGAUAUGCACAAUGGAUGUCCACAUUUAGGCAGGACUGCAAGCCUUCUUUUAGGUGUUGUAGGCUUUGAAAGCACACUAUCCAGGCACACUGCACUCAAUUUCUUCACUAUGUUUUAAUGCCACAAGAAACUUUUGUUUCGUUUCUUCUCACAUGAUUCAAAUGCUCCCCUCUUUCAUCUUCCCUGAAGGAAUAAUCAGCAAUGUGAUGCUGGAGUUUUUUGAGAAAAAAUUUUUCCUUUUUUUUUUCAGUUUAGGAUUUUUAUUGCUUUGAAAAAGGUUUUAUAAUGACUACAUAAACUGUAUAUACAAUAAUGUAAAAAAAAAGAACAUGGUCAAUUUUUAUAUCUUGCUUCAUCACACAUUUAACUUCAUCUACUACACAAAUGUUCACAGAAUUUUCAACCUUCAAUUACAUCUAUAAACAAAAACAAAAAAACCAAAAAUUUUUGUGAAGGCUAUUUAACAUGUCCAAAAAAUACUAACAACAAUGACUUGGAUUUGUUGUCUUUACAUUUUUUUUAUUGUUUACAUUGCAGAAACUAGCAAUUCCUUACAAUGACUUGGUUUAGAUUCCUGUAGCAAGACAUGGAGAGGAAUCUGGCAGCUUAUUUCCACUUUUGAUGUUGUUUAUAACUUAAUCUAUAUUAUCAUGACUGCUGCCUCUGUAAUUUUGAUAUAGUUUGGAAACAACAAUGUCCUUUAAGUGCUCAGCAAUCUGACAGUUUAUUUGCAUUUUGUUGUUAUUUAUAACUUUAUCUAUAUUAUCAAACCUUUGAUAUUAUACCUAGCUGCAGUUUUUUUUAUUAUUGCUUAGCAAUUAUUAUUUUUCAUGCAUGUUAUGCUUAUUCUGGUAAAAAACUGCAUUUUCAUUCAUAACCUAAAAUCGCCCGCAGCAAAGCGCGGGCAAUCAAGCUAGUUAAAAUACUAAAGUGUGUGGAGGUUGUUUCCAAGAAAAAAGAACAUUACUACUACUUUUAAGUGUAUCUUUUGAUGUUUUCCGGUUUUGAAAAUGCGCUUAAGCUUUUAAAUGUUUUUUUUUAUUUGUCUCUAGAAAAUAUUAAUUUGAUAAUUUUUCUAGUAUGUUGCAAUAAUUUUAGUAUAGUGAUAUUAAAAAUAAAAAAAAAUUACAAAAAUUAUCUCUAAAAUACACUUUUAAUAUAUACUUUAUAACACAAUAUGUCAUGAAAACAUAGUCCCAAAAGCCUUCGACCGAGCAUAAAAAGGUUUUCAACCCAAUCAUGCUUUUUCCUUAUUAUAAAUACAAAAUAAAGUUCGAGUGAAGUAGUAGGGUACAAUCUUAAAUGGUCCAAACAUUAUUGUUAGAAUGUGACUGUGGUCCCAACAUUAUUGUAGCAUGUGCCAUGUCUCAAACUCCUAUGAUCAAAAAAUCAGGUUAUUGGUGUUUGAUGAAAUUAGUUGUCACUAAAAAUAAAAUAAAAUCCUUUGUGAAUUAAUUAAUUAUUCAAUUAAAUCCUCAAUUAGUUCUUGUUUUCCACCAAUAUUUUAAGAAUAAAAAUAUUUUAUUAGAUGUUUAGACACUCCACAAUUAUAAUAUUUUAUUUAAGUUUAAAUUUUUAUUUUAAAUAUCGAAUUUUAUGGAGGUUGACGCCAUCAUACCUUGGAAAUUCAUGUUUAUAUGUUUUUGUUUUCUAAUAUGCAUGUUUAAAUAUAAUGUUCUUAUAGCAUCAACUUCAUUAUCUACCUGCAUUUUUUUAAAUUUUAAAUUUUUUUAUUGAAUUUUUUUUAAAAUAUUUUUUUUAAAAAAUAUAUUAUUUUAAUAUAUUUCUAAACAAAAAUAUUUUGAAUUGCAAUGGCUAUUAUAAUCACAAAUAUAUUUUUAUGAUUUGCGAGGUAUUUGUUUUGCACCUGUUUUUAUGUUUAGGAUGAAAAAAAAUAAAACAAAUCAAAUUUUUAAAAACACUAGGUUUCCAAACAAGAUAACGCAUCAAGAAUCAUAGCAAUCCGACAUAUGAGAGGAAAGUUGUGAUUAUAUUUUUAAAGUGCAUCCAAGAUGUUUCUAAGGACAAAAAACACUACUACCUUUAGAGUGAUUUUGACAAUGCAGAAGGAACAUGGAUGUUGUUAUUUUAAAAAUUUUAAAGUAUUUUUAUUUAUAAAUAUAUUAAAAUAAUAUAAUUUAAUAUAGAAUAACUCAAAAAUUAAGACCAGUCUUCAAUCUUCACAAACUUUAAUAUGUAUUAAGUCAAAUUUGUGUAAUUAAAUUUAUCAAGUUUGCUUAAUUAAGAUGGAAUAUUUAUGACUUUUACAUGAUAAGCUUUUAUUGAUAUUCUAUUUUUAUUGACAGUAGUGUGCUUUUAUUUAAGAGGUUCUUCAGUCAAUGAGUUUAGAGUACAAUGAACGCCAUACUCCGUUCUUUCAAAACUUUUCAUGAUCUACAAAAAGUUUAAUUUAAUUAAUUAAAUUUUAAAUUUAUUUUUAAAAAUUAUCAAUUUAAAUUCCAAAAAUUUCAGAACCACUGAUAAUUUAUAUAGUCGUUAAUUUCAGGACUUGUAAAAUUAAUCAAGAUAUACACAAGCUAACUCGAAUAUAUUCGUUAGUAAAAAAAAAAACAUGAUCGGGCACUCUUCCAUAACCGUGGAAACAUCUCGCUCCUCCCCCGUCAAUGCUAAGGGUUGUUGCAAAGUAAAUAGGAAAGUUCGUCCAUAGACAAAUCUUUUCUGAUCGGGUUGUAAGAAUAUCUAGACCAUCUAAAAUCAGAAUCCAUUUCUGUUUCUCCAUUAUUUCUUUUUUCAAUUCGACCACUCUAUGCAGCUCCUCAUCUUCAUUAGAAAUAUUUAGACCAAUACGUCUUUCAAUUCCACCAUGUUCUGCACAUCACACAUAAUGACAUCUUUGUUUAGCGAUUGGAGCCCAGAGUUGAUCAUAAUAUAUAUCUUCCAUGGUCAAGACACAAUGGAUCUGUUGGUUGAGAUGAAUCUCCAUCACAGCCCAACAUCAUUAGGUUAUCUGCCAUCCCUUUCAAGAGAAGAAGAUUUCGAAUCAGUCCAUUCAUUCCCAUCUGUAGGCAUCUUUCUCAAACAUUAAGAAAAAAAAUGAAAAAUAAAUAAAAAAGGAAAAUUUUUUUUAUCUUAAGCUAUAUAUCCAACACUCACUUGAAAGAUAUUAAUAACCAUGUAAGCAAUUUACUUGUCAGUAUUUGACAAGGGGUGAGAGAUAUCGAAGACAAAUUAGAGUACACAAAUAGAAUGUAUUAGGUGAAUUGCCCGCGCGGUGCCGCGGGUCAUAACAUGAACUGAGAAAAACCUAAUUAAAAGCACUGAUAUCGAACUAAGCAACCAUAUGCAGUAGGCUAUUUGGCUGCCAGAACAAUUCAAAAAGGGCCUCAGAUUAAACAUCCCGAGGGCAAAUGUAAACACAUGAAAUUUUCAAAAAAGAAUAGUAUAUUUAUGCAUGCUGUAAAUUUAAAGGUUAUGAACUCUAGUAGGAUUAUAUUUAAAAAAAAAUUAUUUAACAAUAUAAUAAAAAUAGAUAAUUAUAAAAUUAAACACCAGCCCAAUAAUAAUAUAUAUAUUUUUAGGCAGCAAUAACAUCAUACAAAGAAAAAUAAAACCAAUUAUGGAACUAAAUUCUAAACCAACCCAAAUAUUAAAUAGACAUUUUUUUAAAAAAAAUUGAUAACCAAAAAAAAAGAAAAUAAAAUAAAAAGCAAAACACUAUAAACACGUGAAUAGCAUUUCUCCCACACCGUUUAGAUUUUUAAAAAAAAUUAAUAAGCAAAAAAAUACUUCAUUAAACCAGUAAACUAGUAUAAAACAUGUUAAUUUUAUAUAAAAAAAAUUAAAAUUAAAAUAAAUAAAUUAUAAAGUUAAAUUUUAAAUCACCAAUGUAAAAUAAACAAAAAUAAAAGAAAAAAACAAAAGAAAUAAAACAAAACACAUUGGAUUACUUAUUAUAAUUACAAUGAAAUGGGUGUGAAUACGUCUCUUAACUAUUCGUGAGCUUCUUAUUCGUUCUUAGUUUUUCUUGUUUUUUUUUUUCUGGUGGAAUUCCCACACGUCUUCUUUGUGGGCAGCCCCACUUUUAAACCCACUUUUUCUUCACGUCCCCAUGGUCCCCGUGUCCCACAUGUUUUCAUCAAAAACCUAAAUUUUAGAACUUCUUUGGCAGCCACGUACAUGCUUUAGUUUUUUAAAAAAAUACAAUCAUCAUCAGAGACUAUUUUAUAUACGGGGGAGCUUGUUUUGAACGCGGUAGUAAUGAUAUUUUAAAGUAUGUAUUAUCUAAAAAUAUAUAAAAAUAAUAUUUUUAUUUUUUAAAAAUUAUUUUUAACGUUAACACAUUAAAAUAAUCUAUAAAUAUAAAUGAAUUAUUUAAAAAAAUCAAAAAUUUUAAAAACACAAGCAUUCCCAAACAAGGUAACGCAUCAAGAAUCAUAACAAUAUGUGAGUGGAAAGUUGUGAUUAAAAUACUUGAAGUGCAUCCAGGCUAUUUCCAAGAAAAAAAAUUUUACUACUUUUAGAGUGAUUUUGACAGCGAAGCAGGAAAUGUAAUUAUUGUUAUUUUUAAAAUAUUUUUUAUUUAUAAUUUUAUUAAAAUAAAGGUUGUUCGUUUCGUUUUAUUUGUAAUGGUUUCAUAUUAAUUUAAAAAAUAAAAUAAAACAAAAUAAUUUUUAUCUCAUUUUAAAUCUCAGUCCCUUCUUGAUUUUUUGGCUAAAUUUAGUUCAGAAUGUUCCGGUUUUAUUCCACAUGUUCUGUUCCGAUCUUAAAAAGCCAUUAAAUCAAAUUGAACCUAGUUCAAUUAAUUAAUUAAACCAUUAAAGUAUAAAAAACACUUUUCAUUACUAUUUUCAUUAACUAUGAUAUUAAUUUUUUAAAAUUAGAUUUAUUACUAAUAUAUAUGGUUUAUAUUCAUGUUGUUUUUUUUCAAGUUUAUACUUUGUAGGAAUUUAAGCAAAAAUAUGGAUGUUUUAGAUCUCAUUGGCCUUGAUAACAUUGACCUAUUUUUAUAUUUAAAUAUUAGUGUAAAAAUAUUUUAAUUUCAUGAUAUUUUAAUAUUUUAUUAAAGUUAAAUUGUUUUAAGUUAAAAAAUUAUUUAAUCUUAUCUAUUUAAAAAUAUUUUAAAUUUUAAAAUUAUAUUUCAUCACGUCUACAUGAUCCCCUUUGUGUCAAAAACAAAUUGCCUAAAUUUUAGGCUUUAGCAGUUCCUUUUUUGAAAUCCUCAUUAGUGAAAUUUCACGACUGCUUUGGCAAUUCCUUUUUUGUGUGCUUUCAUCUUAAACUUGUGACCAAAAGGUAAACACAAUAAAAUUUUAGAUUAUAAUUAAAAAUAAAAAAGAUAAUAAUUAUUGGGAUCAGAAUUUUAGAAAUCACGCAUAUUCUACUUUCUAGUUUUAGUAUUAAAUUUAGUAUUUAAAAAUUGUGUUUAUGAAUAUGGCAGUUUCAGGUUUAGAAACCAAAACUGCCAUAUUCAUACUCUCUUAAGACAUUUUAAAAAUGUUAUCAUUUAGGUGGUGGCCUAGUGGUAAGAACUUGGGACCAAGAGGUUUGCUCCCUUUAUGGUUUCAGGUUCGAGCCCUAGGUUGCUCAUAUGAUGGCCACUGGAGGCUUACAUGGUCGUUAACUUCAGAGCCCGUGAGAUUAAUCAAGGUGCACGCAAGCUGGCCCGGACACCCACAUUAAACUAAAAAAAAAAAUGUGUGUAGAAAAAUACUUUCAGUGAUGAUUUAUAAUAAUGAAUAGAUUUAAUAUUUUAUUAGGUUACUUUAAUGAUAAAUCAAUAUAGUAUUUUUUUUAUUUUUUGGAUUUUCAUCUUGGGGAACUCAAUAGGAUGAAAAUAAAAUAUUAAUCAAACUUAAAAUUAUAAUUGUUUAUCUAUCGAAGUAAAAAAAAAAUAUGACAAUUCAGUAGUCUUUAAUGAAAUAAAAUUAAAAUAAAAAAUGUUAUUUAUGUCAUUAUAAGCACACUAUAUUAUAUUACUUUACAAAGGGACGAAGGACAUCCUUUGCAUUAGGAUGCUCCCACUCCACUACUUUCUCCCACCAUUCUUCUGGACAUGCAUCGAUGUUUCAAAGAGAAGGGGGAGGAGAUGGUUGGCUAUUUUCAAGCAACGGAAGACAAAUUGGUAUCCUCUUCAGCUUCUCACAAGAUGUUACAUCAAUAUCUUUAAGAGAAUUACAAAUCAGUUUUGCACUGGAAAUGCUUUUCAGUUCUGGUAAGCAAACCAAUUCCAGAGUUAUUAACUUUGGGAGAAUGACUUCCGUGAUGGAAUUGGAGGUGCUGCUUUCUUCAUCUGUUGUUCCUAUUAUCUCCUCCAUUUUCUUACAGAAACUCAAUUUAAUCCUUUCCAGGUUUACGAGGUUUGGCAGCAACACAAGCGGGAACAGCUUCUUCAUACUUUUACAGUCAUAACAAAAAAACCUUUUAAGACCAGAAAACGUACCGUUACAUGAUGGCAAUCGUGGUGGAGCAGAGCAGAACCAAGAAGAUGAAACCAAGCUCUCCAUGUUAUGGCAUUCCCGAAUGCUGAUGCGCUCCAGUUCAGUUGCAUUCUCUAAUGAUAAAACAUCACAUAAACUUCUUGCAUCGAUGCAUUCACAAAUCAGUCCUUGAAUGCCAUUUAAGAACUUGACCUGAAAAUCUCUAUCUCCGUUGAUACUCAAAUUACCCAACCCAACUGUUUUACUUGGAAAAGUUUCAAUGCAUUGCUCUAAAUAUCUACCCACCUCUCCUACUAAAAUCUUGCAUGUGCUUAAUGAUAGGAUCCCAUCCCGAGAUCUGAGAUACUCCACGAAGUCAAAAAAACCUUCGAAAUGGCACUCCAAAGUUUCCAAAUUUCUCAAGGAUCCUACUUCCUUUCCCUUAACUGUUAUCGGAGCAUCAUCUUGCGGCAUAAACUCUUCUAGUACAAAGACUUGCAGGUGAGAGAGUUUUGGUAAUAUCCCACUAGGAAACUCCUUUUCACCACAUCCAUUCAUUAUAAGAUACCUCAGGUUGGUUAGGCAUUCCAUUCCUUGCGGCAUCUUUUCAAGCCUAGUAUAAGAGAGAUCCAACCUCUUCAGUGCCGUGAGCUUUUUUAAUGAUGGAACAUGUUUUAAUUGACCACACUUACUGAGCAAUAAGGCAGUAAGAUUCACCAAAUCAGAAACAGAAUCUGGCAAAUUUUUAAUACCUGUGCGAGACAGAUCAAGGACCAUGAGCCUAUGCAAUUGCUUGAAAAAUGAAUCUGCAACAAAUCCCAACCCUUUAUUAUCACAUAGAAAUAGAGUUGACAGAUUUGGACACACUGGUGAAUGGUCGAAAGGAACUUCUUCAAUCUCGUUUUGCAUUAGUGAAACUAUUGUCAGAUUCUUCGUCCACUCCUCUGCAUUUGGCAACUCUUUUAACUGCGCACCUGCUUUAACCAUGCCUUGAGAGUUCUCUAGCAGUAUUUGGAUGGCCAUGUCCCUAAUCAAGUCAUGCAUCUUGACACAUCUAAUAUCAUCAUAAUCCAUUUGAGCACUUUCCAAUAGGCAGACAUAUUCAAGUCUAUUAAGCAUCGUGUGGCCCUCGUCAAAUGCAUCUUUCCUGCUCCUCAUUCCUUUAAUUAUUCCGACAUCGAUCAAAUAACCUAUCAGCUGCUCCCUCUUAAUCCUAUGAUCUUCAGGAAAUAAUGCACAGUACAAGAGACAUUUUUGGAGUGCUGAAUCACCUAGCCGUUCAUAACUAAACUUCAAUAACUUGAAUAAUUUCUUGUCCCUAAAUUCUGAUGCACUCAAUUUCAUCAAUGUACUUCUCCACUCAUGUAGAUCAUCCACUCCCAUCAAGCUUCCUGCCAUUGUAAUAAUUCCCAAUGGCAAACCAGCACAUUCCCUUGCAAUAUCUUUCGCAAUUCCUUCCACUUCUGAUGAAAGUGCUAUGUCACGUCCAAGUUUCUCAAUGAACAAAGUCCAAGCCUCUCCCUCAGAAAGUGGCUUCACCUUGAUUUUGUGGUGGCAAGCCAUCCGAUGACAAACCGUUUCUGAUCGAGUUGUCAUAAUCAGAUUGCAUCCUUUCAACGGGAUAGGAAUUCCCACUUCGUCAAGCUCAAAAUUGUUCCACAAAUCAUCUAAAAUGAGAAUCCAUUUUUGUUUCUUUAUUAGUUCUUCUGAUAAUUUGGCAGCUCUAUGCAGAUCAUCAUCUUCGCUUGAAAGGUCUAGAUGAAGACGUUUAGCAAUAAGAUUCUGCAAUCUAUUAAUGCUGAAAUCUUGAGACACAGUCACCCACCAAACAUGAUCACAAACAUCUGGUCUUUGUAGAAGCUCAUUAUGGAUAUGUUGCAGUAUUGUUGUUUUACCAACUCCCCCCAUCCCAUAAAUGCCAAUGGUUGGGACUUCAUCAUCCAUUAACAAAGACCAUAUCACCUUCGUAUUCUCUUCAAAUGCUUGACCCACUGGCUUUGUGGAGCUAGUAGGUAAUGGAACUCCUCUAGUCUCACUUGAGUUGUAUUUAAGGCUUAUAGAAGAUCUAGCUCCAGCUUCAGGCUGCACUAAUCUCCCACUAUUCUCCACGCCCUCCUCCUCCACUGGUUCUGUCCUCACUCUAACCAUGUUCUGCACAUCAUACAUAACGACAUCAUUGUUUACUGAUGGAGCAAAUAGUUGAUCAUAAUAUCUUCCAUGGUCAAGACACAAUGGAUCUGUUGGUUGGGAUGAAUCUCCUCGAGGCUCAUCAGCUUGAUUAAUUGAUGGCCUCUCACCAGAGCUACCUCUCUCCAGAUGCUGCACUUGUUCUGUUCUCGCUACAGUUUCAAAUCCAUCAUGCAGACGCUCCACAUCCUCAUCUUCCUGCAUUAAAUAGGUAGAGAUUUCAUUCAGCUUCUGCUCCUUUGAAAGGGCAGAGUGUAUCUGAACCCAAGUGCCAUCAGCAAAUUGAUCCACUAAAUCUGUUCCUGGUGUUGCUUCUCCUCUAUUCUCAUGAGCAUCAACUCUGAGUCUCCAAGGAGAGUCACUUCUGUCAACAUGCUGAAAAGAUCCUUCACCAGUGUAUUCCAUGUCACCUUGUUCCAUGCCUUGAACUCCCGCUUGCAUCCUUCCAGCAUCCCCUGCCAAAUUAACAAGUACUGCAUUGUCUUGUUCUUGUGGACAGGGGGAAAUGGCAUAAUCAUUAACAUUGCUUGAACUUGCAUAGCUAGAAAAGCUUUUAUGUCUUUUGUUGCCAACAUGCAUAGCUAGAAAGGCUGCUUCUUGAACUUCUUGAGGCACCUGACCACAAAUGCCAACACCACGCCCUCUCU
This 66060-nucleotide long non-coding RNA is filed under the name Populus tremula. Its description in RNAcentral is "long non-coding RNA (PTRE_LNC003332)". Lineage: Eukaryota; Viridiplantae; Streptophyta; Magnoliopsida; Malpighiales; Salicaceae. The record is from RNAcentral.